AUCUAGACAGUCGUCGCGAACAGGCCGAUAUGUGCGUGCGUGUGUCGUUCGUACGUGGUAACUAGACUAGGUACGUAACGAUCGAGUUUAACGCACAACGUGAAUCCGUGUGUCUGUGAGGAGAAAUCGUGAGGGAGUCGUGCGUGCUGGCCACGGGGGCCGCGAUACGAGGAGGAGGGAAUAGAGGAGGAAGAAAGAGAAGUGUCGUGGUUUGACGUUUUUUUGGGUCUCGUCGGCGAGACGACGAGAGAGAGAGAGAGGCGCAGCGGUUGCUUCCGAUGUACAUGGUGGUGGCUGUAGCAGGGUGUGGUGUACGGAGAACAGGUGUCCACGAGCGCAGCUCGACCGUGAAACGAGGAGAAGCCGGAAACGUAGUACGAAGCCGGUGCGGUUACGGCAGCAUGAAUUUUCGGGCUGGCUAGCCCGGAGCAAAGACUCGCGCGAGCAACAUCAGCGAGGGACGGCACGAGGUGAGACGCGGCAGCUGCGAGCUGGCGGCGAAUCAUGUCGGAGACACCACCGAAGAGCGCGAGUCCUGCCGGCAGCCGGGCCAGCCCUGGCAGCCCGAGCACGCCACGUGGAGGUCGGCUCCGGGAUAGGGUCAACUUUUUCGUGGAGUUGUUCGAGGACAAGGAGGGAAGGCGGAAUGCGGGUCAGUACAGGUCGCCCACGAACCCUAGACCCGGUUCCAGGCCAUCGUCUCGGCCAUCGUCCAGAGCUAGCGACUCGUCGUUCGAGGAGAGCUUCGAACGGUUGGUGGAGGAGGGCGAAUUGAACGGUUCGAAGGUGGUGAAGUUCGAGAAGAUCACGGUGAGGAAGAGCGUGAGAGAGAUCGGGACCGGUGGUGCGUCGACCCGUGCUUCUCUCGCCGAAUCGAGCAGGACGCCUAGCGAGGAACACGCCCUCGAGGACUCGGCCUACCAGAGUCACAGCCACGGUGCACCGAAUUACGGGAGUAAAUCGAGCUCUGUCACGUCGUUUACGAGAUUUCCAUCGGAGGAGAGUUUGUCGCAUAGGAGGGGCAGUAGCCCUCACCAGCAUCUGGACGAUCGAACGCCGUCCGAGUGGUACGCGGAAUAUCGCACUCAAAGCUUCCACAACGUCGCCACCAGGAUCGAAUAUGUGCGCAGUAAGAGCGAGUACGAUGCACACAUCGCUGAGAUUAAAGACGAACAAGAACGCGUUCAAAAGAAGACCUUCGUCAACUGGAUCAAUUCUUAUCUUUCCAAGAGAAGUCCACCGCUUCGAGUGGAUGAUUUAAUCGAGGAUCUCAAGGAUGGCACCCGCCUACUCGCAUUGCUUGAAGUUCUAUCCGGUGAGAAGUUGCCGGUGGAAAGGGGUCGUAACUUGAAAAGACCUCAUUUUCUUAGCAACGCGAACACUGCGCUUCAAUUCUUACAAAGCAAAAAAAUCAAGCUAGUGAACAUAAAUUCGUCCGAUUUAGUAGAUGGACGACCGCCCGUAGUGUUAGGCUUGAUAUGGACUAUCAUCUUAUACUUCCAGAUCGAGGAGAAUACCAGAGCAUUGGAAUAUCUUGGACAAACGUGGGGUAGUCAGAGCAGCUUGGAGAGCCUGAGUACCCAGGGGUCGGCGACCAGCGAGAGAAAACGCAUCAGUAGCGAGAAAUGGAAGCAGGGAGCGAGAAAGACUCUGCUUCAAUGGGUCACCAAUGCUCUGCCAAAGGACAUAAAAGUACGAGACUUCGGUGAAAGCUGGCGCGAUGGCAACGCCUUCCUGGCCAUCAUCGACGCGAUCAAAGCGAAUUUGGUGAACAUCGCCGCCAUGAGAGAAGCAACGAACAGAACACGUCUAGCGACCGCGUUCCACGUGGCCGAAUCCGAAUUGGGUAUCGCCAAACUCCUCGAUCCCGAGGAUGUCGACGUUCCUCAGCCGGACGAGAAAUCGAUAAUGACUUACGUUGCCCAAUUUUUGCACAAAUAUCCGGAACCAGGAUCCGCAGCUUCCGAUUCGUUCGCGGCUGUGCAACAAGAGUACGAUGGUCUGCUCGCUUGGCUUUACGAACGACUCAAAUACUUGGAACAGAUGGGCACUUCCCCGUUGGGUUAUGAUGAAUACGCCGCGGUAAAAGCGGAAGUCGAGCAACAGAGAAUUGUGUAUAAUAAGCUGCAACGUCUUGUCGAAACUCCUAGCAUGAUCAGCAUCACUCGAGAUUCUUGGAGACACGUGCAGAAUCUAUGGAAGACCUUGGAAAUGCUUAUGUUACGCUGGCUUUGGGUCUUAGAUUCCUACUUACCAGGCGAAUUAAGCGUUGUAGGCAGAUGGUUGUGUCGUGCAGAAGAUCUUCUAUUAUCCGACAACAACAUCCCAGAAGAAAUGACAGAAGAAACAGCCAACAUAAUAUCGAAUAAGCUCGAAGAACACAAGAAGUUCUUCCUCGAUCUUCCGUCCAUGACGGAGCGAUUCCAAGCGGCGAGAGGUUCCGAGGCUGCAUUGAAAGUGCAUCCUCAACAACUGAACGAGAUGGCAGCUCGAUUGGACAGCUUGCCGGAUCGUGCCGCCAAACGUAGAAUCCGACUCAAGUUUCUGGAGCACAAAUGUUGCCUUAUUGCUUUCUUGUUCCUAGUCGAGACGAAGUUGAAGGGAUGGAGCGUGAAAUAUGGCACGGAAGAGAGUGUACAUCAGAUGUUGGAGCAGUAUAGAAACUUCGUGUCUCGAAAUAGAAUUUUCCAGGAAUUCCAGAAAGCGUAUUUGGACAUGCAACAAAUCGUCGAGGAUUAUAAACGCGAAGGCAAUGUUGACCAAGAAGAAAGCGCGAAUAUUGACCGUUUCAUGAGAGAGACCAGCGACAAAUGGAAGAGCGUAUCCAUGGAUCUUCGUUGCGUGCAAAGCAUGCUCGAGGAAGUAGUAGCCUAUUGGCGUCGAUGGAACGUCAUCUCCGACGAGUUCGUAACUUGGUUGAAUCGCGCUGAACCUGCCUUGCACCUUCCCGAAGAAGAUAAAAUGGAAUUCUUCCAAGACAUAAGCGUAUGGAAGGAUAAACACCAACAACUAUCCGACACAGUGACAUUUUUAAUUGCCACAUCUGACGAAUCAGUCGCCUUGCAACUGAAACAACGUUAUUCGAAUCUCACGUCCAGAUGGGAAUCUCUGUUCCAAGAAGCGAAGCAAUAUAUGCACGCUGGAGACGUUAUAAGAAAUAGAAAAGAUUAUAGAGCAGGAGUGGAGACAUUGCAGAAAUGGCUGAGAAACGUCGAAACAGCUUUGUCAGCCACUGAUCUAACCACAACUGAAAAAAUUAAAGCUUAUGGUGAGAAGUUACAAAUCUUCCACAACGAGGUAGAAGGGAUCGAAGAUCUGUUCAAGAGUAUCAGCAAGAAGUUUCAAACGCUUAUUCAAGAUUUGUCUCGUGACGAAGUGGAUAAGAUGAUGAAUACUUUGAAGAAAGAGAAAGAAGCUCUGGUCAAAGUACGAGCUUUGAUACCGAUGCAAUUGCAUUUGUAUCAUCAACUUUUGGUCCAGCAAGAGUCUCUAGAAGCUGGUCAGAAGGAAAUAGCUGCCUGGUUGGACGAAGCAGAGAGAAUGUUGACCAAUAUCGAUCUGUCACGUGGUAGGGAACAUAUUCUGGCACAGUUAGAUCGUCACAAAGCUUUCUUUUCGAGAACUUUGUAUUACAAAUCUAUGCUAGAGUCUAAGAACAAAGUAUUCACUAGUAUAGUAAAGUCUGUGGACAGUCACGCUGACGUAGCCACCGCAGAAGGUGGAAGAACAUUGAGAGAAUUGAAUGAACGAUUCAACAGAGUUUCCCAAGCGGCUCAAGCCUUGGAACAACGACUUCAGGAAGCUGUCAGAUGCUGGACCAAAUUCAAAGAGUGCGAGAGACAAGUCUGCGAAUGGCUAUCAGUCGCAGAAACCAUGAUGAAUGAUAAACAUACCGAUAAUAGACGAUCUAUAGAAUAUCAUAAGAAUUUCUUCAGCAAUGUUAACGAGAAAUGGAUUCAAGACUUCGUAAACGCUGGACAGGAUUUGAAAAGUAUUUUGCCUGUCGAACAGCAAGCUCCUAUUUCAGAAGCUGUAGAAUCGCUUCAGAAACGUUGGAAGGAGGUAUUAACUUUCGCUCCUCUUCAUUUGAUGAGACUUGAGUUCCGUCUGGAUGAAGCUACGUUCUUACAAUAUCUGAAAGAGAUUGAAGUAGAAGUGAAUUCAGAGCAGCAGGCUCUAAUGAAGAACGACAAUGUGGAGAACAUACUGCAAAGGAACAAGGAAUUUUUCGUGAAUCGUGGCACUGUACUCGAGGUGGAGAAGUGCCUGCAGACUCUGAAGAAGAUCAGUGAUGCAUAUAGUCAAUUGAAACCUAACGAUACCAGCUUGGCUGAAGCCGCACAACACGCUGAAAAUCUGUGGGAGGAUUCUGCUCAGAGAGUGGAACGUUUGAGGGAACAACUGAAGCAAGUGCCUGAGCAAUGGGCUGCUUAUAAGAAGAAAUUCGACGAAAUGGUACGAUGGAUGGACCAUGUGGACAGUAAUUUGAGAACCAUAUUGCACGAGGUGAACACUUUAGAGGAAUUCGAGACAGAGAAAACGAUAUUCCAGAAAAUAUGCAGAGAAGCAGACAGCAAGCGCGAAGAAAUGAAAUGGUUGGUCCAAACUCUCGACAGCCUGACUUCCAAUCGUUCUGAUCAUGAAGCUCUUUCAGAGCAAAAUCGUUUAGAACAGUUGAUCACUCGUUACAAGAAUCUGAUACCAACAAUAGAGAUUACCAUGACGAAAACUGAUAUUUAUUCAAAGAGUUACACUUAUAGAAAGGAAGUUCGUGAAGUGUGCACUCUUUUGCACAAAGUCAAAGAUCAAUCUAAGAUAGAUGUAGUAGCAGAAAGUCCAGAAACUUUGAAGACCGCAGUCACUCAUCAAGAGAGCCGUCUUAGUCAGCUAGAACAACAGAGAUCAAAUAUCGUGAGCAUGCUACAACGUGGUAAGGAUCUUUUGAAAGAUCAACACGCUCCUCCAUUCGUGUCCUUGGAGGUACAGCAAUUAGAAUCCAGCUGGAAUGACACGUAUGGACAAAGCGUAGAGACCUUGAAGUCUUUGAAGAGUUCGCAAAAGUUGUGGAACACUUAUCUGCAGCAAAAAGAGGAGAUUUUGAAAUUGAUCGAACAAGCUGAAGAAGAAUUAAGAAAAAUCGAAUCGACUACUUAUUACGAUGCUUCACAAGUAUCAUCCGAUCUGCAGAGCAAACAAGAUUUCAGUUCCACUUUGAGAAAAUCUGCCGAGGAGUUGCUGAAAAAGUUGCAAGAGACGUAUAGCCAUUUGACAGAGGUCGCAGCACCGGAAAAGAAAGAAGUGUUGAAAAAAGAGAUCAUUCAUACCGAGAAGAGAAUGGAGACCACUUUGAAAACUGUCCAAGAGAAAGUGGUUUAUCUACAGGAGCACAGUACCAGAUGGAAUAAAUUCCAAACAAAAUUGAACGAAUUGCAAUUGUGGACUCAACAGAGUGCUCCGCAAUCAAUUGCAGAUACUGAGAAUUUGGCAACAACUCCUGAAGAGAUGGUCUACAGAACUGAGAGUUUACAGAAGGAAAUUAUAGAAAGAACUAGAACAUUGAAAUUCCUCGAAGAGGAAUCUCAAAAACUCGUAAAAGGUGGUGUUGAUAGUCUUCCAGCGAAGCAGUUGCGCAGUGAUAUCAUAACACUCGAAAGAAGCAUCGAAACCCUUCAAAAGAGCAUCGUAGCUCAACGUCAAACAGCUGAACAAAAUUUACAAACCUGGAAGGAGUACGAGAAAGGUAUUCAAGAGAUAAAACCUUGGAUCGAAGAAGCAGAAUCAAAAGCAGCUACUAUAGGCAGCAAACCAACCACUCUAGCUCAGGCAGCUCACAUGUUGGAAACAGCCAGAGCAUUUGAAAUACGAUGCCAACAACAUUUUCCUCAGAUUCAAGAUCUAUCUUUGAUCAGUCAACGAAUAACAGGAAAGACAUCAGCUUCCGACGAAGUGGAUGCCGUUCAUACUCGUUGGAACGCUGUGCACGACAUAGCAGUUCAAACGACCACGAAAUUGGACAAGUUGGUUACUUCGUGGAACAGCUUCGAAUCUGAGAUAAAAGAAUUCAACGAAUGGUUGGAAAGAUCCGAGAGAACGGUACUCAUGGAACCAAAUGCCGAGACACCCGAAAUAUCAGUGCUAGAAAAGGAACUGGCACGGUUGAAGGAUUUCAACAAGACUAUAUCUGAUCAUCAGGCGCAAUUGAUAUCGCUAACUCAGGUUUCUGAUCACAUCAGCCACGGAUUAUCCUUGGAAGGAGCGACUAAUUUGAAGGCUCGAGUCUCGGACAUUAAAGCCAGAGUCAGCAAGCUGGCCGACACGGUUAGAUUGCAGAUCAACCGUGUGUCCGACUCGUUGUUAGCUCGCCAAGAAUUUCAAAUGAAAAUCACCGAUUUCGAGAACUGGAUGUCGCGAUUGAGAUCCAAUAUCGCUGAGAUCAGCGAUGCUACUGUCGAUACGGUUGACACGAAUCUUCAAGCCGUGCACGCAUAUAUCCAAGAACAUUCUGAAAAGCAGCCAAGCUUGGAAGCUAUCUGUCAAGAGGUGAAGGAUAUAUGUCCCAAAGGAUCUAUGCAGGCGACGGUUGCCUUGGUUGAUACUUAUACCAAUCUGGAGAAAAAGUACAAGGCUCUGGGAGAUGAUUUGCAACAGAAAAAGAAAGGAUUAGAGAAGUGGAUAGAGCUAUUGAGUUGGUUGAACGAUGCCAAUGCUCAAUUGAGCCAUUGUAAGUACGAAGCUGAAGCUAGAAAGCCUACCAUCGCUGAUUUGGAGAGAUUUUCGUCCGAAUUACGGAUUAUUUAUGACAAGAUUGAAACGUGGAAACAACAUGUUUUGCCUGACAGCGCUAUUGGAAUACAAAUUAGGGACAAACAGGGAAAACCUCUUUCUGCGUCAGGUUUGUUGAUCGACUUGGAGAAUAAAGCAUUGUCUCUGCAAAAUGAAAUAUCAGCGAAACGCGAUAGACUGGAAAAUCUUGGUGCCAGAUGGAACAACUUCAGAACAUUGCAGCAAACUAUCACUGAGAAGAUAUUGAAUACGCAAACUGCUCUUCAAGAAACGGUUUAUAAUGUUGAUUCAUGCAAACAAUUAGCUCCUGCUGUGGAAAAGAUCGAUCAAUUAAUCGAAGAACAUCAGAAGAGGGAACAAGAGAAAGAGAUCCUCCACUUUGAAGGUACUUCCUUGAUGAAAGAGGAUCAAAGAUCGACGACUAAUAUUCAAGUAGUUCUAUCCUCUGUCGAUGCUAAUUGGGAGAAGGUGAACGAGCUUCUUCGAGAACAGAGGAAGAAAUAUGCUGAUAUGAAUACAGACUGGAAAGAUUACGAAGAAGCCAGACAAAAGGUGGAGAAAUCUAUCAAAGAUGCAAUUAAUUUGUGUCAAUCGGUGAAAGGAAUAUCUUAUGAUAUCACUCAAGCGAAUAUUACUUUAGAAAAGCAUAAGAAAGCUUUGGAUGCGCUGAAGAAAGGCAGACAUUUCUUGGAUAAAAUGGAUUCGAAAGCACAGCAAUUGACGAAAGAAGCAUCCCUCAUGCCUAGAUUCAAUUCUGAAUUAAUCGAAAAUGAUUUGACAGAAGUUCGACAACGAUACCAAGAUACUUACAACGAUAUCAGUGAGAAAUUGCAAGCCUAUGAGACUCAGGUGAUCAUUUGGAAACAGAUAGAAGAAUCGAAGUCUGAACUCAUCAAAUGGCUCACUAAUACAAACGAAGCGUUGACCACUGCAUUCGAACGUUUAAUGGAUGCUGAGAACUGUCAAGUAAGAUUGAUAAGAUACAGAGAGGAGUUGCCUGGUUAUCAGCAAGUGUAUCAAAAUAUCGUGACGAAAAUAGAACAACUUGUAAAAUUGAACAACAAUUCUGACAUCCCUACUCUGAAUUCCUUGCAUCAGUUAUUAGACGACCAAUUCAAUGUGGUUAAAACUUCAGCGGAAAAAUUAGAAUCUUUAACAUCUACUUUGAACGAGAGAGAAAGGACAAUUAGACAGGAAAUGAAGCGAUGUGGUGAUUUGAUCUCGAAGAUCAGAGAAGAUAUAAUCAAGUGUGACGAUUUGACUGGUGAGAACACUAAGAUUCUUGGUCGUAUCAACAAAUGUCAGGAGCUGAAAACAGAAUUAGAGCAAUGUGACUAUACUUUGUCCAAAGUUGAAGAAACAUUGACGAAGAUUUCUACAGAGUAUCCUAGUAUCUCCAGAUCGAGUUUGCCAAAGGAAUUGCAAGCGCUUCAGCUUCGAAGAGACGGCGUGGCCAAUCAUGCUAACAAAGUGAUAGCAACACUGGUAGCAUUCUUGACUAAAUUAUAUCACGAAAAAUUUGGAGCUCUUCAACGUAUGGUUGUAACGCUCAAAGAGAAAGUAGCUUGGUGUGAACCUGAGCAAAGCAGUGAUCGUUACAACUUGGAGGUAAAAAUGGCUUCGUUGAUGGACGUAGAAAUUGGAAUCGCCGAUUGCAUAGCUAGAAAAGAGGACACUGACAACUCCUUAAAGCUUCUAGCAUCCGUAGAAAGUGCCGAAACUAUGGCCGCCUUGAAGUCAGAUCGUGACAAAGUUGAAGUCGACUUGGAAUCAUUGAAGAGCAGUUAUAAUAAAAUUAAGAAUGAUCUCGAACGAAAUAUCGCUCUGUGGCAACGUUAUGAGCUCACUUCCGAGAAUGUGCUGUCCUGGCUGAAAGAGAAUGAGAAUAAAAUCAGAGCAGAGGCUUCCGCGUUGCUCAAUUUGGAUGACAUCGAGCAGAAAAUCGCAGAGAUGACCGAAAUGCAGAAAAGUGUGAUGGAAUAUCAAAGCGAACUGAAAGAUUUGACUGUUUUGGCCGAAGAUAUCACCAGGGUUAGCUCCGAAUCAAGAGUAAAUCAAUACAUCAGUCACUUGAACACGCGUUACGAUUACGUGUUAAAGUUUUUGGCCCAACAUUUGGACAGACUUCGAGAAUUGAAGGAGAACAGAGAUCAAUAUGUGGCUAACAAGAAGAAACUCGAAGCUUGGAUCGAGAAUGCAGAGAAAACAUUGAAAGCCUACGAUGAAAUCACUGGUCCAAAACCUAUAACUUUCUACCAAUCACGUUUGAAAGAAUUGAAAGCAUUUGCCGAGGAACGAGAAGUUGGACAAGCUAUAUUGAACAAGACAGCGGAAGCUGGCGAAGCUUUGUUUGCUAGAAUUACACCAGAUCAGAGAGAAAUGAUAAGGACGGAAUUGAGAAACUUCCGUAAUCGUGUGGAUGCAAUGGCGGAUCGUUCUAACGUGAUUUAUAAAAAAAUAGAGAGCGAUAUGAUGCACAGAUCUUCCUUCGAAGACAAAUUCUCUCAAGUGAAACAGUGGUUAGCAGAUGCUCAAAAUAAAUUAGGAGAAAAGCAAGAUUUACUGCCAACGUUACAAGAAAAGAAGCUAGCUCUUCAUUUGUACAGAGCCGUGGCACAGGACGUUACUGUUCACAAGAAUAUUCUUCAACAACUUCAAGAUAGAUUAAGUACAGCACCAGACGAUGAUGCGAGUGAAAUGUUAGGCAACGUGAUCGAGGCUUAUGAAAAACUGUCCAACGAAGUCGAAGGGCGAAUUAAUAUAGCGGAGAAACACGUUUCGAAUCACGAGGCUUAUCUUCAAACGUUUGAGAAGACUCGAGAUUGGAUCAACACGGUGAUCAACGAAGGAACGCCGAUAGUCGAGGAUUUUUCAGUGGAACGAGAAACAGCGCAAAGUAAAAUCACCACCAUCGAGAAUCUUUUGCAACAGAAAGCGGAAGGGGACCGAAUCUUGGCUGAUUGUAACCAGCAAUUGAAUAUUGUCUUGGAACAAACCUUUAUGCCAGGUCAUCCAGCUUUGUUGUCCAAUUUUGAGCAACAAAAGAAAAUGUGGGAAGAUUUCUUGAAGCGAUGCGUGGCAGCUAGAGACAAAUUGAAACAUAUGUUCAAUCAAUGGUCCGAGUUUGAGAAGAUCGUAGAAGGUUUGGAGGCCUGGAUCAAGCAGAUGGAGACCCAGUUGAAGGAUCAAAGUUUGAAGAGUACGGAAGAAGCAAAGAGAGCUCAUUUGCAGAAGUUGAAGUCCUUGGAAGAAAGUAUCAUCGCGAAAGGAGCUGAAUUUAAUGCCGCCAUUGAGAAGAGCCAGAGCAUCGAAGCUGAGGCAGACCUAGUCACAAGAGUCUCGAGACAAACCACUAAAUAUCAAGCUAUUAAAAAUCAAAUAAAGGAAGCUGUAAUGCGAUACGAACAAUUUGUGAAAGAGCACAACACUUUCAACGUGAAAUAUAAUCAAUUAUUGCAAUGGAUCACGGAUAUUAAAUCGGAAUUGAAGAAACACAGUGAGAUCGUGGGUGAUUUAUCCGUAUUGCAGAGCAGACAGAAGCUCAUUCGAGAUUUGGGCGAUACUAGAACGAAGGAGAACGCUAGAUUCGAAUCUGUCAUAGAUCUUGGAGAGAAAUUAUACGUUCAUACGUCGCCUGACGGUAGAGAAAUCAUCAGACAACAAUUGAGAAAUUUGAGAACCUUGUGGGAUGGAUUCACCGAAGAUCUACAGAACACUAUGCAAAAAUUAGACCAAUGUCUGAUGCAAUUCGCCGAAUUCUCUUUAUCUCACGAGCAAUUGACAGCUUGGCUUCGAGACGUGGAACGCGCGAUGCAUCAACACACAGAAUUGAAAUGUACUUUGGAGGAGAAACGAGCACAGUUGCAGAAUCACAAAAUUAUGCACCAAGAAAUCAUGUCUCAUCAAUCUUUGGUAGAGUCUGUUUGCGACAAGGCGCAACAGUUGGUAGAUCAGACCAAGGAUACUUCUUUGAACGUCUUUCUACCAUCUAUUAAGCAAUUAUUCCACAACAUUGUGGCAAAAUCAAAGGAUUUGUUAGAAAACUUGGAUGAUUGCGUAGAGAAACAUCAUAGAUUUAAUUUACAAGUGAAAAGCUUUUCUGAUUGGUUGAAUGGCGAGAAAGAUAAGCUUGCUGAAUGCAACGAUAUGACUGGAGAAAGAACGGAUAUUUGCAGAAGACUUGCCACUUUGGCCAUAUUGAAGGAUGAUCAGAUGCAGGGUGCUGAGCAGCUUGGAAAAUUAAAGGAACUUAGCGACACGGUUAUUAAGAGAACCGCGCCGAAAGGAUGGGAUGCUAUUAAUAAGGAGAUCACUAUUUUGGAAGGCAAUCUUCGUCAAUAUCUAAGUGAAAUAGAAUCAGUGGAAGAUAAGCAAAAAACAGCAUUGCAGAAAUGGCAAGACUUCGAAGAUAAAUUGGAAACGCACACAAAAUGGUUCUCAACGAUGGAAGCUGCAUUCAGAGACCAACAGUUGCAGCCUACUUUGCAAGACAAGGAAGCUCGUUUGCAAGCAUUGAAAGAGAAACGUGAUGCCAUAUUAAAGGAAGAAUCGAAGAUAGACGAGUUCAUUGAUAAGUCUCAUAGUUUGCUUCAUGCAAGUGGGGUUGAGCGUAUCAAGCCUUUGAUCUCCCAAAUAAGCAAUAGAUAUCAGUUAUUGCACGUGCUUAGUAAAGAAGUAGUGACUAGAUGUCAAAGUGUUGUGGACGAUCAUAGAACGUAUGAAGAGAAACUAAAGGUCGUAGAUGCUUGGCUGACUCAAUUAGAACAGAGUUUAGCCAAUUUGAAGAAAGACGAGACAGGUGGAAAUCUGGAAGAGAAAGUAUCUCGUCUGCAGAUAUUGUUGGCUGAAAAGGAACAAGGUGAACACAGAUUAGGAAGUUUGAUAUCAUUUGGAGAAAGGAUUCUUGCUGAUACAUCGGCUCAAGGAAGAGAAAUUAUUCGCCAUGAGUUGAGACAAGCUCGAGAACGAUGGGAUAAACUUGUGGAAGGCAUAGCCGAGCAACAGAAGAAGCAAGAUGCUCAAUCUUUGCAAUGGACCAAUUAUCAAGAGACUCUGCAACAAAUUUUGACCUGGUUGGAUACUAUGGAAAGAUCAGUGAAACAGGACUCGACGAUCACUUGGUCUUCUCUUCAAGAAAUUAAAUCCAAAUUACUGAAAAGCAAGGGAAUGCAUCAAGAAAUUUUGGCUUAUAAACGUAUCAUUGAAGGCGUUUCAGAAAAAGCAAAUGCACUAUCGUACACAUCUCAAGCACCAUCAGACGCUCAACAAAAAGCUGCUUCGGUUUCUGGAAGAUACGAGGAUUUGGUCGAAAUGUCACAGAAAAAUAUAUCCAAUUUGGAAACUCUUCUAGAUACUUUCCAGCAAUUCUACGAUCUACAAAAAUCUUAUCAAGAUUAUCAGAAGCAACAAUGGGAGCAAUUAGCCAAUUACAGCGACUAUACUGGCAACAAAGCUGCCUUACAAAUUCAAUUGACUAAAAUCAUGGAGCUUCAAGAUGGCCAGAGGGAAGGAGAAUUGAAAUUAGAUAUUCUCAGUGAACACGUGUCUCAGAGUGCUCAUAAUUUAUCACCCAGAUCAUUAGAAUCUAUGGAAAGAGACUUGGCUACGUUAAGAUUCGAGCACAAAAAGUUCGCCACAGCUGUAAACGAUAUUAUUCGAUGCAUCGAAGAGAGAAUUCAACAAUGGAGCGAAUACGAGAACUCUUUAGAACGUUUAUUAGCUUGGUUGACGGAUGCAGAAUCGUCUUUGAAGAAUUAUUCUCUGAAGAACACUCUCGAUGAGAAGCAAGAGCAACUUGAAAAGUAUCAGGCACUACAAAAAACCGCCUUGUCGUGGGACACGGAAGUGACGGAACUGGUGGCCCUAGGAGACCACCUGGAUCAAAUGUUGAUCGUGAAUCUACGGCAAAAUGAGGCAGAAUUCGAUAAGAUGAGCGACGAAUCUUCCGAACUGAUGCAGAUUAGCGGUGAAACAAGAUUUUCUGCUAGUGUUCAACAAAUCACUUCUCGGUUCCAAUCUAUUCAAGCAACUGCUAAAGAAUUAGUUAAAAAAUGUGAACAAGCAGUGGCGGAUCACGCAGCCUAUCUUGAACGUUACAAACAAUGUUCCGAAUGGCUGGCAAAUACACGAACUACUUAUCAAUCAAUCAAGGAUGACUUUAGCGGUACUCGCCAAGAAUUAACUUCGAACGUGGCAACCUUAAAAGAUCUUCUAACUCGACAAUCUUCGGCAACUCUUUUGAUCAAUAAUACCGUCGAAGCUGGAGAACGUUUGUAUCCUACCACAGGCAUGGAAGGCAGAGAAAUCGUCCGCCAACAAUUAUUAGACCUCCAACGAGCUUUCGAGGAGCUCUACGACAGCAUUGCCUCCACUGAACGAGAGUUGCAAUCGAAGAUAUCUCGUUGGUCCGGUUUCGACGAGUCCAACGAAUCGUUCGACAAGUGGCUGAGAACUGUCGAGACUCAAUUGAAACCAGAAAUCGAGUUGAAAACCACGUUGGACGAGAAACGAGCCCAAUUACAAAUUUAUCGUUCCUUUUUGCACGAUAUCCAAUCUCAUCAACAAGAUCUACUCGAUCUUCGAGACAAGGCUGACAAUUUGCCGGAUUCCACGGACAAGGUGCAUCUGACGCUGAAGAAAUUGAGCGAGAGACACGCAACCGUGUUGAAACGUGCGGCUGCUUUCGUCGAAAGAUAUGAAGGCAUCGUUAGUGAUCAUCAACAGUACAGCAAGGCUGUUCUGGAUACCCACGAGUGGAUAGAUGCGACUCACAAUGCGGUUAUUCUUUGGGGUGACACGGAACUCGAACGUGUGUCUCUUCAUACUAAUCUGGACAGAUUGAGGAACUUAUUGCAGGGUUUACCAGAGGAUAAACCAAGAGUGCAACAGAUAAGAACACUAGGCGAGAAAGUGAUUCCAGGCACGUUGGAGUCUGGACAGAUAAACAUUCGAUCUCAGAUCGAUUCCUCGCAGCAAGAGUGGGAAAGUCUGGUCACUGCGGUGAAGUCUACUAUAGAAACACUGGAGAAUAAGCUUCAACAAUGGAACGAGUUCGAAACGUCGAAAGAACGUUGUUUGGCUUGGAUGAGAGAAACUGACACCAAGCUUCAUGCGGUGGACUUGAAGGCUACCUUGCAAGAGAAGAAAGAUCAAUUGGAACUUUUGAGAACUCUUCAGGGACAGGUGCGUGCGAAAGAAUUGGAGAUAGACGCUGUUACCGAGAAGGCUCAACAGCUUCAUAAGAAUAUCACGUCUCGUACCACUCAUAUGUCGGAAUUGAGCAUCAAGUAUCAACAAAUAUCGAACAAAGUGAAAGAUUUGAACAGUCGUUGGCAUCAAUAUGUGACUACUCAUCAAGAAUUCGAUAAUCAAGUGGCAGAGUGUACUAGAUGGUUAGACGACAUUAGGAAGAAGUUGGCCUAUUGCUCUGACUUAGGUGCAUCCUCUCAGAAAGAUUUGGAGAACAAGAUGGAGAUAGUGCAAGACUUAUUAUUGUACAAGGAAGAUGGGUUCGCCAAGGUACAAGGUAUUGUGGAAUUAGCUCAGGCAGUCUUGGCAAACACGGCUCCAACUGGACACAAAGCUAUCAACGAUGCUGUUGGAAAGCUGCAAGAGCAAUGGAGUGCUCUGGCCUCGAAGAUGUUGGAGACUAAAACUAAUUUGGAUGACUCUAUCAAUAAAUGGGCUGGUCUUCUAGAACAGAUACAAUCGAUGAAUAAGACGGUGGAUUACAUGCAGUCUGCUUUGAACGAGUUCAUGCCUUUCCAAACUACCAUGUCUGAGAAGAGAUGUCAACUGGAACGUAUCAAGGCUUUAGAAGAGAAAGUUCGAUGUGAGAAUAUUGAAGUCGAUAGUCUGAAGAUCAAGGUCGCUGAGAUGAUCGCCAGUGGACCUCAAGGGUUAGCUGCAUCACAGGCACAGAGCAUUUUGAACAGAUUCGAUACGUUGUUUGAAAAAAUCAAGUCUUUACUGACCGAACGUGAAGAACAGUACAAGGAUCAUAGAUUAUACAAGGAGGCGCACGAUGAUAUUAUUAAUUGGUUGAGUCGAGCUCGCGAGAAGAUUCCAUCUAUGAAGCAAAGACCUUUAAGCGAUAAAUUGGCUAUCGAAAACGCUGUGGCUCCACUGGAGAGUUUGUUGAACAAGAAAGCUCAAGGAGAAUUGUUGGUGGAACAUCUUCAGCAUACUGGGAAGGUUGUAUGCGCGAGCACGAGUCCUCAAGGUCAGGAAAUUAUAAAGAACGAGGUGAAAGCUUUGACUCAGAGUUUCGAGGAACUUUUCAGAGAAAUCAAGCAACAAAAGGAUCAAUUAGAACAAACGGUGAGCCAAUGGCGCGAUUACAAGGACGAGUACGAAAGAUUAAGCGAUUGGUUGCAGCAAUUUGAUAUUCUCAUAAAGGCGCAAAAGAAUUCUCUAUUACCAAAUGUAGCUGAGAAGGAAAAACAGGUGCAAGAAGUGAAAGAGAUAUUGGAGAAUUUGCUGAAAGGACAGGAACAAAUCGAUAAAUUCAACAAGACAGCGUCCAGUCUACUUUCGUCUCACUUGGACACCUAUAUAAAUAACCAGCUUCGACACUUAAACUCGCGUUAUCAGGUUCAAGUAAAUCUUGCCAAAGAUGUUCUCAACAAAGUCGAAACCAAUCUAGCUCAGCACAAAGAAUACGAAGCUAAUUUGGAAAAGACACGUGCCUGGAUCGAGAACGCGAAACAGAUUAUUCGAAAGGGGACAGAAGCAGCGUCGACUAGCAGCAGAGAAGAAUUGCAGAACAGAUUGGACAAUAUCCAAGAGUUGUUGAGGAAACGGGAAGAGGGUCAGAACUUGGUCCAUCUGACGGUGAAUUGUGGCGAGAAAGUGAUGAGAAACACUCGGUCGGACGGGCGAGAAGAGAUCAAUGCUCAAUUGAAAGAGAUCCAAAAUGAUUGGGAGAGAUUGGUGAAGAAGAUCUCGACGACGAAAGUGCGUUUGGAAACGAGUCUUCUUCAAUGGGCUGAUUACAGCUCGUCUUAUCUGCAAUUACAGCAAUGGAUCAAUGAUAGAGAAGCUAAAUUGCAACAAGUCUGCGAACAGAAGGUAUCUAAGGCUAGAAAGGGUCUGGCUGGAUUGAGUUCCUUGGCUAUCGGAGAAAGGAAGGCGAAUCUCAGGCAAACGAACAGCAUCGUUCAAGAUAUAGUGGCGUUCGAACCGAUGAUUCAAUCGGUUACAACGAAGGCCGAGGAUCUUCGACAGGCCACACCAGCCACGGAAAUUUCAAUCAAAUAUGAAACAUUGAGUAAACAAGCUCAGGAAUUGUAUGCCAAACAGAAGGAGACUGUAGAGCAACAUCAAGCAUUUAUAGACAGUGGAAAUGAAUUUAUACAGUGGAUAAGAGCUGCCAAGGAGAGGCUUGGUAAAUGUUCCGAGCCUACUGGAGAUAAGGAAUCGUUGGCGAACAAGAUCACUCAAUUGAAGGUACUGCAAAGUGAGCUGCCAGAGGGUCAGAAGAAAUUGCAACACGCCUUGGAGCAAGGAAACGCGGCAUGCCAGAUCGCGGAUGAGGAGGACAAAGAGAUUAUUGAAGAGGAAGUGGCGUUGUUGCAAGAAGAGUACGAUAGCUAUGUAGACUCCCUGAACAACACCAAGAGUUUGUUGGAGGUAGGAAUAGUGAAAUGGACGGAGUACGAAGAUCAAUUCUCAGAAGCUACCGAAUGGCUCACGCAGACGGAACAGUUGGUGCAAUCGUUCAACAAACUUCAGGAUAGUUUGGAAGAGAAGAAGAAUGUUCUCGAACAGUUCCAGAUCCACUUACAGACUUUGUUCGACUGGCAGAAGGAAUUAGAUCGAUUGAAUAUGAAAGCUCAGAUGUUGCUGGAAACUUGUGCGGAUACUAGAAUUUCUAACGCUAUUACUCAAUUGACAACCAAGUAUAAUGCUCUUCUAUCUUUGGCCAAAGAAAUAAUGAGACGUCUCGAGUUACAUUAUCAGGAACAUCAACAACAUAAUACGUUGUAUCAAGAAUGUCAAGAUUGGAUAGAACGAACACGUGACAAAUUGAGCGAGUGUAAGGAACUUCCAAGCACUUUAACCGAGGUGAACAAUAAAUUGCACACUUGCAAAGCCAUCAGACAAACACUGGAACAAGGCCAGAACAAGCUGCGUUAUGCUCUCGAACUGAAAGAAAAAGUGAUCAUGAACACGGAACAAAAUGGCGCCGCAAAGAUUCAAGAGGAUACAGAGAAUCUGAAGACGGAGUUUGAGAGAUUAUUAGUGAACGUGGAAGACAUAAGACAGAAGCUUUCAGCUAGAGCAAGCGCAUUGGAGGAAUUGAACAAAAUUCACCGAUUGACUACAGAUUGGAUCGAAGAGAUCGAGGGUAAAAUUCAACCAGGUGAAAUGUACAAGAACGAUCUGAGCGAAAAACGAGCGGUAUUGGAGAAGUAUAAGACAGUUCAGAGGGAUAUUCAAGGUCAUGGUGAAACCGUAGACCGAUUGAAAGCUCGUUUGGCUGAAGAUUCCAGUAUACCUAUUGGUCCUUAUCAAUCCACUAUUGCCAAGUACGAUGAAUUGACUAAAUUGAUCGCUGAAAAGAUUAAGAAUUUGGAAGAACAAGUGAACGAUCACGAAAAGUUCCAACAAGCUCACAACGAAGCAGCGGACUGGGUUCGCCAUACAAAGCUGGAACUUCAACAAAACUGCGACACUCAUGGGGAGAAGGAGCGAAUCAUCGAACGAGAGAACAAAGUGAACCAGAUCAUAGCUUCCCUUCCCAAAGGAGAGAGUUUGAUCUCGAAGGUGAUCCAACUCAGCGAUGGUGUGAUCGCUAGUACAGGUCCAGAAGGUCAGGAAACCAUCAAACAGGACAUGAAACAACUGCAAGCAAACUGGAAAUCUCUACAAUCUCAGUGUCACGAGUCCCAGAAGACUUUGUUCAAUUGUAUCGCCAGUUGGUCUCAAUUUACAACUGCUUUAGACAGUAUGAAGAGAUGGAUAGAUCAUUUCCAGAAGAAGGUGAACGACGAACAAUCGAAAGAGAACAAAACUCCGGAGGACUUGGUCCGGUGCAAAAGCCUCGUGGAGGAAGCUAUCCAACAGAAACCAGUUUUGGAGGAUCUGAACGACAAAUGCGAGGCCUUGCUGGAGCUGAGCGCUUGCAGCUGGGCUCGUGACAAGACUGUGCAAUUGCAAUCUGCUUACACGUCUCUGUUGACCGAUAUGCAAGGUCUUGUUUCUCGAGUGGAGAAGAAUCUGUCCGAUCAUACCGAGUUCUUGAAGGCGAAGAAGGAAAUGGAAGAUUGGUUGCGCAUUGCUCGAGGCUCGGUACAAGAUUGUAUGGGCGUUGGAGAUGCUGAAUGGGCUAAGGAUAAGUUGGAAACUAUCAAGAUCGUAGCAACAAGAAUUACCGAGGGUCAACAUUUAUUGUCAACAUUGCAAACUGCCUUCACGAAAGCCAUAGACACAGCUGUACCAGAGCAACAGGAUCAACUGAGAUCAGACAUGGCGGGACUCCUUUCCAGCUGGGAACAGCUCAGCAUCGAUUUGAACACCGUUCAAGCUCAACUUAAAUCCCUGUUGCAUCGCUGGGACGAUCAUUCAGAAGCUCAUGGAAAAUUGAAACGAUGGUUGGAAGAAACGGAGAAUAGUAUGCAAGACCUUCCGGACACGAAAGGAGAAUUCGGUGAUAUGAAGACCAUGCUUGAACGUUAUAAACACAUCCAGGAGGAAGUACGCGGCAAGAAGACCGAGUUGGAUCAUUUAAUGGACGAAGCUAGCGAAUUGUCGAAACUGGCGAAGAAAAACACGUCUCUGGAACGAACGAAGGAACUGUUGAAACGAUGGGAGAAUUUGAGCGAAAACGUCGACGAGAGGAAGAGGUUGAUCGAGAACGAGAUGCAGGAAUACAACGCGUAUCACGCAGCCUUGCAAGAGACGGAGAAGUGGCUGUUGCAAAUAUCUUUCCAAUUAAUGGCUCACAAUUCUCUCUACAUCACGAACAAGGAGCAAACGGUGUCGCAAAUUCAGCAGCAUGAAAACCUGCUCGCGGAAAUCGAGAAUUAUACGAGUGUCUUGAACGAUUUAAAGUUGAAAGGGAAUGGACAGAUCACUCGAUACGUCGCUGUCAAUCCCGAAAUUAAAACGAUCAUCGAAACGCAAUUGCAAAAUGUUCAAGAGAGCUACAACUCCUUGUUGAACACGGCAUUGCAAAUAAAGAAACGAUUGGCGGAAUCGUUGGUCAAAUUCCAGGAGUACGAGAACACUCUGGAGAGUAUUAUGAAGAAUUUGGACGCGUAUGAACCGGAAAUCGCUCAAGAAAUGGAAGCGCCGUUGGAUACUCUCGACGCAGCGAAACAGAGAUUCGAAAAUGCUCGCACGUUGCACAAUAAAUUGCAAGGGGAGAAGACAAGGCUUGCUCUGGCUGUCGAGGCUUGCGAGGCUGCAGUGGCAUGUGUCUCCAGACCCGGAAGUCCUCUGGAUGCGCCGCCUGUGCAGAUUCCGGCUAGGGAAGUCGAAGUGAGAAACAAAUUGGAGGAAUUGAUCGAUCAGGCGCAGGGACACUUGAUGAACGUAACCAAGGCUCUAAACGAGUUGGAAGAGCAAACCCGACAGAAGAACGUUCUCCGUGCGUGGAUAAACCAGCAAAGGGCUCUGUGCGCCGAAUGGAAAUCUCGUCCAGCGAAAUUGAGAUCCGAAGCAGCUCUUGCCGAAUUGCAAGCUAUGAACGAUCUGCUUGGAAACGUUGGAGAACGUCGAACUCACGCAUUGACAGAGCUGUCUCUUCACGAGGACGAUCAGGAUAUCGAGGAGGGAUUGAACAAAUUGGAAGCAGAGUUGACGGAUGCCAUCGCUGGGAAACAAGCGGCGCAGGAUCUGAUUCAGAAGUAUAGGACACAGGUGCAGAACAUGCAAUCGUGGUUGGACACGUUGUCCAAAAAGGUGGACGUUAUCGAGAAAGGGAACGGGCAGACGAUUGGACAGAAGAUAGCUAGCGUGAAAGAGAUCACGACCGAGUUUGAGUCCCAAGGGCCCGGAAAAUUGAACGAGGUGAAGACUUUGAGCGAUCAGGUGAUGGAUUCGGUGAGCAAUCUGGAUUCUCAGCAAAUAGAAGAGCAAAUUAAAUCGGUGGAGAGACGAUACGCUGAUAUAGGGAAGAAACUGCAGAGGAAGGCGCAAGUGUUGGACAUGACUGCUCAAGGUAUUGAAGCUACGAGGCAGGAGAUCGAAGAGAAUAGAGAUUGGAUUCAGCAAAAGAAGAAGCAAGCUCAGAUGUCCGAGCCUGUUGGAUUUGACAGCAAGCAGGCAGAAGAAAGGCUUCUUGCUUUGAAGGCAAUGUUGAAGGAAGCAGAGGGAAAACAAAUGGUGAUCGAUACGUUGGAGAAACGAGUAGGAAACAUGCAGAACGAAUUAGAGUCGAACGAGCAACAACAAUUGGAAAAUGAAACGAAAGCUUUGCGUGGUGAACAAUCCCAACUUUGCACGAUUUUGACAGAGGGAAUCUCUAGUGCCACGGCUGCGGCUGAUGCCCGUCGUAAGUUCGAGGCUGAUCUCGAACGAGCACGAAGCUGGAUCAAAUCGAAGAGCAACAAUUUGAAGAAAUUGAGCGGUUAUCUCCCUCUAAAGGCGUCGAAAGUCGAGCAAGAUAUCGUGCAACACGGUGAAUUGGAAACUGAUAUCGAUUCGUUCAGCGAGAAAGACCUGAACGACAUUUUGAAACAAGGAAACAAUUUGCUGAAGGAGUGCAGCGAAGAGGAUCGUGCCAGAUUGAAUAAGAUCUUGGAUGAAUUGAACAAAGACUACGAGGAGCUGAAAAGUGAGGCACAAGAGAAACAAGCUGCGUUGGCGGAUCUUCUUCAAGGGCGAAAGGCUUUCGAGAGUGAAAUAGACAAGUGCCAGAGAUGGAUCAAUGAAGCUGAAGUUGCUACAUCUUCGGAUCUGAGAACUUCCAGUAUUGAUAUUCUAAGAGAGCAACUGGCUAAGUACGAUCGUUUGAAGAAAGAGGCGAAGGAGUACGCAGAUGAUAUCGAGAAAUUAAUGCAACAAGGAAAAUCGAUUCUUCCAACCGUGACCGAUGCCGAUAAGCUCGAAUUAAACGAACAGUUGCAAAACAUGAAGGAAGCUCACGGUAGAGUUGCUGGAAUAAUAAAUGAAAGAGCCCUCGCCCUUCAAAAGAGCAUCGACGAAGCCGAAGAAUCAUUGGCACGAGUAGCUGAAGCCAUUCAAUACAUGACAGACGUUCAGAAAGAACUUCACGAGCUUAACAAACCUAUUGGUUCACGCGUGGAAGACGUCGAGGCUAUGUUGGAUGCAUACGAGAGAAUAUUGAACGAUUUGAAGGCGAACAAGGCGAAAUUGUCCGAUUUACAGUCGAUCAACGUGGCUGAUCUUCAUGGGGUAUUAACUCAGCAAGAUGAUCUCAUGAAAGCUAUAGAGUCCCAAAUUGCGAAACUUCGCCAGUUACUUUUGUUACGUCAACAAUUCAUCGCUUUGAUCACAGAGAUAACUACUUUCAUAGCUAAAUAUACGGAGAUCGUUCGAGAUAUCGAGAAUUCUGGUCAAACAACGGAGGAAAAGAUCAAAAGGUACGACGAUGCAAUUCUGAAGAUCCAAGAAUGCGAAGCUACCCUCGCCAGUGCAACGGACAAGGGUCAACAAAUCGCAGCAGAAGGCUCAACUGUGGAUAGAAACAAUAUAACGGAACAACUGCAAUCUCUGAAACAACAAUUACAAGGUCUGAGAAGAGCUGUGGAAACUCAAAGGGAGCAGCACGAAUUAGCAGCAGCGGAACACAAGAGAUUGGCGAACGAAUUGGCUGAGAUUCUCGAUUGGUUGGAGGACAAAGAGAAAGAAGUGAAAUCUAGACCUCUUCUGGAAAGAGAUCCAAUCAGUGUGGAAGCAGAAUUGCAAAAACAUAACGAGCUCUGCGAUGCAGUCAACGAACAUCUCGAUAGAAUCAGAAAUUUGAAGAAUUCUGUUCCCCACGAAGAAGGAAUGCCUGGUUCGUUGAAGGAAAUGCUGAGCGAGGCUGUCUCUCUGUUGACCUCUUUGCCCAGAGAAAUGGAGGAACGUGGAAAUUAUUUGGAGAGCAACAUGAAGCUGAGACAAGAGUAUGCUGCUCUUACCGAGAAACUUCGAAGUUGGGUUCGAGAGGCAGAGAUUCGAUUGGAAAGUGACAAGGAUGGACUCGAUUUCGAGAACAUCCUGAGCGAUCUCGAGGAGCACAAGAUCUACUUCAGCAGCGAGCCAUCGAUUCGCGAAUUGGUGUCUCAGCAAAUUCAGCAAGCCGGUGACAAAAUUUGGCCUUCGUUGAACACGUCUGAGCAAGAAGAAUUAAGCGCGGAACAACAGCAGCACACCCAAUUAUUGAAAAACACGUUGAACACGGCGAAAUCUCAACGCGCCAGGUUGGAACAAGGCGCUGAAACGUGGAGGGAUUACACGCAAACCUUGGAACGAGUCCGGGCUGUGAUAGCGAGGAGCAGAUUCACCGACGAGCCUGUCACGACUCUGGCUGGACUGCAAUUUAACAUCCAGAAGAUCACGCACGCGCUCAAUGACAUACAGAAUCAACAAUUCGAAUUGGAUCUAUUGAUCGAACGCAGUCAAGAAGUGCUUCGAUUGGCCGACGUUAAUAACAAGAAAACGAUAGAGGCGCAGAUUUCUGAGAUCAGUGCGGAAUGGAAAGAGUUGGUUUCCGGGUUGGAAGGGCGAAGGGAUGCCCUCGAGGCGUUGUCGAAGCAUUGGGAAGAUCUGGAGGCACAAUGGUCGCUUAUCGAGACUAAAGUGAAUGCUAUCGAGGAGAAGAGCAAACUUUUGGACACUGUGGUUCGUUCUAAGCAACAUUUGCACGACACCAUCAAAUCUCUACAUGAGUUGGUAACGGAAGCGGAGAAAUUGAAACCGAUGGCAGCGGAAGUGAAAGCUUUAUCAGGACCUGUUCUAGCAUAUCUGGCUGCCUUCACAGAAGCUCCAGCUCAUGCUCUCGAGGAAAAGCUGAAUAAAUUGCAGAAUUCCGUCGAAUCGCUCAUCGACACCCUGCAGACGAAAUCCAAGAAGGCGGACGAGGACUUGGAAGCGUUCGAAGGCACCGAGCGUGAGAUCGAUCAGCUGAGGAAGCAUCUGAACGAGGCGCGCGAACGCGCCUCUCAUUUGUACAUAUUCGGGCCGGAUCAGGACGCGACCGAGGAGGAGCUUGACGAGCUGCGUUGGGCUGUCGAGCAGCUCCUCGAGAGCGGGAAAAAGUUCUCAGGAAGCACUAAGGCGCGGUACCAAGCUAGCCAGCAGCUGGUCCCCAGCGAUCUUGCCCAACACCUGACCGCCCUCGAACUUUGCGCCGAGGCGACAGCGCAGGCCAUGGAGGAGAAACAGAGGGAGCAGAAGCGCGCGAGAACCGUCAGAUCGGAUUAUCUGACCGAUCUGGACGAGGUUCAAGCGUGGAUCAGGCAGGCCGAGUUGAAGGUUCAGGACAGAUCGAUCGAGCCUGUACCUCUCAAGGAUCAAUUGAGGCAGGUGCAAGAGGAGUUGGGCACGAUCAGCGACAAGCUCGAACGAUUAACGAGAAAUGGCCGUACAAUUGCGGAGAACACGAGGGACGACACGGAGAAACAAUUGAUCGACAGCACCGUUCACAACGUGACCGAACAGUUGAACCAAGUGAGGAAUUGGUUGGACGAGAGGAAACAAGUGGUGGCGGACACCAUUGACGCUUGGCAGAGAUUCUUGUCGUUAUACGAGGCAGUGAGGACGUGGACCGAGGAGAAGAGACAAUUCUUGGUUGAGCCGUUGAAGCUCAGCACCCUCGUGCAGGCUAGGCAGAGGCUGCACGAAUAUUCGACAGCCGUGAAAAGCUGCAAACAGAUCAACAAGAAUCUCAGUGACAUGGGUAAGGAGCUCGAGAGUAUCGGUCAGGUUUGCAGCGUGGGCGACUUGCCCGAGAAAUUGCUCGAAGCUGAAGAAGCUAAGGUUCAAGUCGAGGGUCAACUGUUGGAGAGGAACGCGCUGCUGCAAGAAACUAGCGAGGAAUGGGAGCAAUGCGAGCGAAAGAUGAAAGAGGUGAAAACGUGGAUCGAGAAAGCGAAACAGAGUCUCGAAUCGCCGCAGAACAAAAAGAAACCGUUACGGGAUCAGCACAGCAUACGGGAGAAAAUGCUGAGCGAUAUCGCGAUACAGAAAACGAAAAUCGGUAUAUCGAUGGAGAAGCUCCAGGUUCACUUCCGGUCGGGGAUCGGUGGCGAUAGCCGAAUCGGCGAAACGGUUGACGAGCUACUGGCCGAGUUAGACAAUCUUCACGCCAACGUGAAGGAACAGACCACAGCGUUGGAGGGUUGUUUAGCUCAGAUCGAUCAAUAUCAACAGGAGAUACAACAAUUGAGGCAACAGAUUAUGCAGGUAGAACAACAAUUGAGGACAGUGCUGAGUCCGACUUACCUGUCCACCGACAAGGAGAAGGCGUUGCAGGAGCAACAGCAGAGCCUGCAGCAAAGGAUGGACGAUUGGAGGCAACGCGUCAAGACAUUGCUGGAUGAAAUAUACACCGUGGACCCGUACUAUGUACAAAGCAACGAGACAAGGUUCGUCAAUCAGGUCUCGUACGCGGACAUCGCCGCUGGUCGCACGAGCCCCAAUUCCAGGGGCUCUAGCCCCUUUAGAAACAACCGGGACGAGGCUGCUCCUACACCUCUCUCGAUUCAAGUGCUUAGACCGACUGCUCAAUUCUCAAGAUCCGUGGAUAUCCAGAAACCCGUCGUUGAACCGGUUCGCGAUGAAACUCCGCCUAGCACCGCGAGAAUAGAAAGCAGAGGCAACGAGGAACGGGCGAGAAUCGAGGAGCAGAGCGAACAGAAGGACUCCGAGAUGAGAAUCGAAAGCAGAAGACACGUUUCCAAGAUGGAUUCGGUGGAUUCUAGAACGAGGAGUCAGUCGAGGAGGGCUGGUUCGGUUAGAAAUGACAGCGAUGAGGCUGUGAGGGAAUCUAGGGAGAGAAAUUCGUCCGCGGAGAAUGAAAACGAGAUGGAGAUUUCUACAUCGAUGGAACAGAAAAAGGAAUCGUUGGUACUUAAGAACACGUUGGCGCCUAAGGUUGAGAGGAGAGGAAGAUCGGCUAGUCCCAUUUGGGUGCCUGGAUCUACGUCCUACGCGGAUAUCCUUCGUGGAAAUAGGCAAAGUUCUCGCAGUCCUUCGGUGGAGGCUGGCAAGGACGUUAAUAUGAUUGGUAGAGAGGUCAGCGAGACUGUGGUCGAAGAGUUGUCUGUGGAAACGGUUCAGAGUGAGAAGUUGGAGUUCAAUGUGCCCAGACUCGAAGUGGAGGAAGAGACGGAAGUUCAGGAAGCUGUUGAGGAAGAGGCAAACGAAGAGAUAGCAGUAGAGAGUUACCAGUCUGUUGAGGUAAUGGAUGAAGACGUGGCUGAAAUCGUAUCUUCUUCCGUGAAACCCGAGGAAUCGGCAGAGGCUCAAACCAGUUGGGCUGAUGAGAGCAUGGAGGAGUACGUUUUAUUGAAUGAGAAGAAUUACAAGAAUAUUGCGGGAGCACCGCAACAAGUUCAAGAAGUGUACAAUUAUAUUCAACCACCUCUUCGACCAGCGAUUCCAGAAUUGGUUGGAUUCAUUGGAUCUCAGGUAGCUUAUCCAGUAAGUUCUUACGUCUACAUGCCGGCUGCAUCCCCUCAGCAGAUGGCUCUUCCUCAUUACACCGAGAGUCAGAUAGCAUUCCCGUCUGAACAAUACGUGGCACAACCUAGUUACAUCCCUGAGCCAGAGAUUUAUCAGCAGAAUCUGUUGCAGAAACAGAGACAACCGCAUCAAUCUAAAUACAAAAGUAAUCCAAAGAGCGCUCCAAUUAUCAUGCAAAAUGUGGAAGAGAAAUGUUUAUCUUGUCAGAUUCCUCAAGCUGUGGAUAUUCAGCCUGUCGUACAACCUAUUGUCCAACCAAUACAGAUAGUUGAAGAGAAAUCUGUGGAACAAGAACAGCCUGUACAACAGCCUGUGGAACAACAACCUGUGCAGCAAUCAGUGCAACAAUCAGUGGAACAAUUAGUAGAGCAACCUGUGGAACAACCUGUGCAACCUGUUUCCCCCGCAACACCAUCGGAAAGCACACCGGUGAAGACAAAAAUAAUCACCGAGAGUAAAACAUUCUCCUACGCUCAGAUCUUAUCACAGGGUCUCGCUCCUAAACCGUCAUCGGCCGUCAGUAGUUAUUCUCCACCAACGAGCGUUCCAUCGACGACAUUAGCCUCGAAACAGGUGAAAGAGCGUUCGUAUUCACCUGUGAAUUCGACAACGUCCUCGGUGCACGAGACGAGUCCUCCUCAGGAGGCGAGGCAAACUCGAGAAUCGUCGGUAAGUAAACAGGAAAGCAAUUGGGACGUUACGAAGAAAAGGGAGACGAGGAAGACUCAUCAGGAGGCGCCGAAGACGAAAAUCCCGGAAAAGAGAGCUAGAAGAGGGCCCGAGUACUCGAAAGAGAAACUUCAAAAGGAGAAAAUUAAGAUUAAUGUGGAGCAACAGAAACAGGUAUUCGAAACGAAAGAUGAAAUUGUCGUGGAAGAUACUUCUAAAAUAAAUGUGAAGAGUAACGAGGUUGAGAUUAAAAAGGAAAAAGUGGAAGAUGUUCGAUCGGAAAAGAGAGUAGAUGUCGAAAAGACGAAAAAGAUCGAAACACAGAAACAAGAUGAAAAGCAAGAGGUUCAGGAGGAGAAGCAUGAUGUUCAACAGAGGAGCAGAUCUCAGGAAAAGAAACGAAAGGGAAAGAAGAAGAAACCGGAGAAGUCGAUGGACGAUGAGAUAGACAAGGCUCUGAAAGAAAUUGAGGAUAUGGAUAAACAGAAAAAGAGGGAUAAAUCGAGGGAACAGACUAAGAUUAAGGAUACGAUUCAAACUGUUCAAACAGAAAAAUCUAAAGAAGAUAAUGAAAAGAAAGGCGUGAAGCCUGGCGAGAAAAAGAAACAAAAUAAAUCGAAGAUGGAGAAGGUUAGAGACGAAUCAGAAAUUGCAAUGAAUCAGACUAACGCGAAAGAACAAAUGAAAUCGAAGAAUGAUACGAAAGAAAGUAAAGAAGAGAAAAAUAUUGAGAAAAGGAAUGCAAAGGAUGAAGCUAAGAUUUCUAAGGAGAAAGUUGAAAGUCGAAAGAGCGAGUCGGAAAAAAGAUUUGAAAUUAAAAUCGAUUCAGGUAACGAAAUGAAGAAAAUUGAGACGAAGGAAGAGAAAGCGCAAAAAGAUUCUGCUAAUCUAUCGAAGAAAAAGCAAAAAGGUAAAGAACAGACUGGUAUGGUGAAAGAUAAGUCUAAUAAAGAUAGUGUGAAAUCUACGAAAAUUGAAAAUGAAUCUGAACAAAUGAAAAAAGCGAUAUUUAUUGAAGAUAAAGCAGAAAUUCAAAAAGAGAAAGACAUUAAACCAGUUGAAAAUAUUGGAAAUUUAGAUCAAUCACAGAAACAAGAGGAUACGAAAUCUAUAAAACUUAUGAAAUCAGAAAAAAUAUCUGAAACAAAAGAAUCAAAAGAGAAGGAACCUGCGAAACCUAAAGAACAGGAUAAAUCGAAAAAGAAUAAAAAACAGAAACAAGGAACCGAGAAUGAGAAAGAUCAGACACCUAAGAAACAGAGCCAACAAAAAGAAGAAAAGAAAAUAGAUCAAUCGAAACAGAAAAAAUCUGUAGAAAAAUCAGAGAUAAUAGAUAUUAAAUUGGAAGAAAACAAAGAGAUUAAAAUAGAGGUUGAUGUGAAAGCACCAAAAGAUGAAAAAGAGAAAAAGGUAACUGGAAAAGAGAAAGAAAAGAAAGCUGAAAGUAAAGAUCGUAAAAAGAAAGAUACAAAACCAGAAGUAGCAUUAAAAGAGAAAGAAGAACAGAAAGCUGUAAUAAAUCCAUUGAUUAGUGCGAUAGAAUCUGAUAAAAAAAUUGAAGAAAAAGAAAUUGAUAAUAAAGAUUCGAAGGAAAGUUCUACACCAAAGAAAGAAACGAAAAAAGCAGGUGAAGCAGAGAAACAGACAAAAACAAAAGGUGGAAAGAAAUCUAAAAAGGAAGCGGAUGUUAAUCAGAAAUCUGCUGAGAUUAUCAAAAAAGAAGAGACGAUAGUCGUUACAGAUAAACAAGUUAUUGAAGAAAAAAUUGAUGAAAAAAUUAUUAUAGAAGAAUCGAAAAAAGAACAUUUGAAACUUGAAUCAGUUGUACCAAAUACAGAACAAUCAGAGAUGAAAAAACAUAAGAAAUCUAAAUCACCAAAAAGAGGAAAGAAAGAAGAAAGUUUAAAAUCUAUAGAACAAAAAGAAAAGACAGAGAAAAAAGAAAUGCAAGAGGAAACGAUAAAAUUAGAAGAAAUGAGCGAUAAAAUCGAUACGAAAGAAAAGUCUAUAAAAGAAACAAAAGAAGAAGUUGUUAUCGAAGUUAAAGAGGAAAUUAGUGCAGUUCAAGUUGAAGAAAAGAAAGAAAAAGAUAUAAUCCUAACAGACAAAAUUGAAAUACAGUCUGCUAUUGAAAAAAUACCUGAAAAGAUUAUUGUUGAAGGAAGCAUGGAAACAUUUAUAAAAACUGUAGAAAUAGCAAAAGAAACUGAAAAAAUUGAAGUCAGUGAUACGAAAGAGAAAAAGGAAACACCUCCUCCUGAAAUUUCAAAAACAGAAGACCAACAACCAGAGCAAAAGAGUGAAAUGCCAAGUACACCAUCAAAGAGUAAAAAAUCAAGUAAAUCAAAGGAGAAACAUCCUGUCGAAAAAAUAGCUCCACUUUCUAUAGUUCAAGAGCCUAAACCAAGUACACCAAAGAGUCAACCAAGUACACCAAAAUCCGAUAAAAAGAAGAAGAAGAAACAAGAGAAUAAAGACAAAGAUAAUAUUGAAUCUCCACAAGCAAAACAAAAGACAAUUACUGAAAAACCUCUCAGUGACGCAAAACCAAUCGAAGAAUCCAUCGAAAUACCUGAUGUUGUUCCCGAAAAAUCUAUUUUUGAAGAGAAAGAAAUACCAACGACGUUGCAACCUGAAAUAAGUCCAAUAAUUGAGCCUGAAAAAGAUCAAAUUAUUGAAUCUAAUGAGUCAAAAUCUGUUUCGCAAGACCUGAUUGAAAAAUCAAGUACAGAAGAAGUUCCAUCUCUCUCAUUGACAGAAGAGAUUUCAAACGUCACAGAUACUGGUUCGCCAGUCGAAGAAUCAUCUUCGACGUCAUCGGGCAAAGCAUUAAUCAUCGAAAAAACGGUAACCACGGUGACGACCACGACCAGCAUACCGGGAUCUGUCGAAGUGAAGCCUCCGAACGUGAAAUCCGUGAAAUCCGUAGAGAUCUUAGAAAGCAUUCCCUUACCUAAGAUCGUAGGCUCCAAACCCACUGAAUUAAUCACCCUACGUCCUGAAACAGUAGAGGCUAGCCUAACAACCAGAUAUGCUAGGGUAUCGGAUGAAUCAGCUGUUGGUAUCCCCUCGAAAGAGUUUUUAGAUACGUUAGUGGACGAGUCGAAUUUCGAUUACGCGAAUUAUAUCAAUCUCGUCGAAGACGAUCAACCGAUUUUGUUCGGUAGCGUUCAGGAUAGGAGGAAAGAUCAUUCUGGGACUUCUUUGUCUGUAGAAAACGCGAAGGAAGAACGAGAGGUCGAUGAUUUAAAGGAGGGACAGGGUAUUGAUGCGAAGAUUUCGCAAGAUACAUUGAGCGAAAUCGAGGGUAAGAUUGAAAAGGGUGAAAUAAUGAUUAAAAAAGAAGUAAACAUUCUUGGAGAAACUGAAAAUGAGAGAUUCAAAGAUUCGAGUGAGUUAGAGAUAGAGAAUGAGGAUAAAAGUGUGGAAGAGAAGCGAGAAACAAAUAAAACUAUGGAAGAGCUUCUUUUUACUGUUGGAAAGGGAGAAGAUGUGAAGAAUGCUGUGGAAGAAUUGUUAGAAGUUGAAAGAAAAGCUAUGGUAGUUGAACAAAAAAUUGUAGAUAUCGAAAAACAAGAAGCUGUUUCUGUUAAAUUUGAAGAUAGUAAAUUUAAGUUGGAAGAAAUUGAAAAUAAAACAACUUUGAAUGAAGAAAAGGUUGGAGAUUUAGAAAAACCAAUUGAAGUUCCUGUUAAAACUGAAGAAGUUAGCAGUAAAACAACUAUAGAAGAAAAAGUAGUAGACUCUGAAAAAGGAGUAGAAGUUCCUGUUGAAAUUAAAUCUAUAAUGAAAGAAGUUGAAAGUAAAAUAACUCUGCCUGAAGAAAAAAUUGCAGAAUUUGAGAAGCCAAUAGAAGUUCCUAUUAAAGUUAGUGAUGCUAAACUUCAAACAGAAGAAAUUAAAAUUGAAGAUAAAGUAGAUUCUGAAAAACAAGAAAGAAUUGAAAUUGAAGAUUCUAAAUCUAAAAUGAAAGGCAUUGAAGAUACAAAUCUACUUGAAGAAAAACUAAUAGAUACUGAAAAACGAGAAGAUGUUUCUGUUAAGCUUGAAGAUAUUAAAUCUAAAUCGGAAGAAAUUGAAAAUAAGCCAACUCAGGAGGAAGAAAAAAUUAAAGAAGUUCCUAUUAAUAUUAAAGAUUCUAAAUCCAUAAUUGAAAAAAUAAAUAAUGAAACAAUUAUAAUUGAAGAAAAAGAUCUUGAAGAAAAAAUAGAAAUUCCUGUUGAAAUUAAAUCCAUAACGAAAGAAGUUGAAGAUAAAACAGUUCUGUUUGAAGAAAAGGUUGUAGAAUCUGAAAAAUCAUUCAAAGAAGUUCCUGUUAAAAUUGAUUAUUCUAAACCCCAAGAAGAAAUUAAAGUUGGAGAAAAGGUAAUGGAAAAACAAGAAACAAUUGUAGAUGAAGAUUCUAAAUCUAAAAUGGAAAGCGUUGAAGAUAGAACAAUUCUUGAAGAAAAGAUCAUAGAAUCUGAAAAAUCAAUAGAAGUUCCUGUUAAGAUUAAAGAUUCUAAGAAGAUAGAAAAAGAAGUUCCUGUCGAAAUUAAAGAUUCUAAGUCAAAAACAAAAGAUAUAAACCCAUAUUAUUUCACAGAUUUAGUAAAACCUUAUUGGUUCAAUUAUCGUCCUUAUAUUAAGGCAGAAAUUGAUUUCUAUAGGCAUUUCAAGAUAGUAAAAAUAUUAGAAGAAAAUGUACCUGCUUCUGUGUUACCAAGAUCAGAUAGUAUUGAAAGAAUUGUUCAGGAAUCAAUCAUGAAAAAACCUAAAGAAGGAGAAAAGAAAAUAGAAAGUGCAGAACAAUCUGAGACUGAAUACGCAAAACAUGCAUCUCAGGAAAUAAUUAAGGAAAAAUCUAAAGAAAUAGAAAAGAAAACGGAAGAUACAAAGGAAUCUGAAACAGAAUACAGAAAGCACAUACUUCAGGAAUCAAUUGAAGAAAAAUCUAAAGAAAUAGAAAAGAAAACGGAAGAUACAGAGGAAUCUGAAGCAGAAUAUCGGAAGUAUGCACUUAUUGGAGAAACCCUUAAAUAUCCUAUUAGUACGUUUUAUAAAUUAGAAUCUGAAUGGGUGAAAUCUAAGCUGAUUCAAGAAAAAGAGGUCACACUUAACAAGGAAAUUAUUCAAAUUUAUGAAGAAGAAAAAUUACCAAUAGAAUUAAAAGAAUUAGAAGAGGUCAUGUCUACAUCUGUGGAAGAAUUGACAGAUAAAUUGACAGAUAUUGAAGUAAAAUCACCAAUAAAAUUAGAAGAAUUAGAAGAGGUCAUAUCCACUUCUGUAGAAGAAUCUAAACUGACAGAUGUUGAAGUAAAAUCACCAAUAAAAUUAGAAGAAUUAGAACUCAAAAAUGAAGAGGUCAUACUCUCUCCUGAAGAGGAGUCUAAAUCAAUAGAUAUUGAAAUUAAAAAGGAAAUUAUCGAAAUUUAUGAAGAAGAAAAGCCAGCAAUAAAAUUAGAAGAAGAUAAAAAGAUUAAUAUUGAGAAAGAUACCAUGAAAGUUAUCGAAGAAGUUACUACAGAAAUUAAAUCUACAGAUAGAAUUUUGGAUCAAACAGCAGCUCUUAUUGAAGACGUAACUAAAGAACUUGAUAUGAUAAAAAAGGAAGAAGAGCAAAAUAAAAUUGUAACAAUUGUAGAAGAAAGAAAGAAAGAAUUUGAAACUGAGAAAAAAGAGCAAGUAUCCGAGAAAAAAUCAAAAACGGAAAAAUCAAAGAAAGAAAAGCAAUCAAAAGGUGAGAAAUCGAAGAAUAAGAAAAAGGAGAUUUCAUCAAUUAAAGAACAUGAAAUUGAGAAAAAAGAUACUGUUGAAACAGAAAUGACACAAAUUAUAGAACAAUUUACAGAGGUUAAAAAAGAGGAAAUUAAAGAGGCUCCACUAUCGAUCAAAGAACUUGAGGAGAAAGAUACUACUGAAAUAGCAGAAUUAUCACAGAUUAUGGAACAAUUUACUGCAGAAAUUAAGAAAAAAGAAAUUGAGGAGAUUUCAUUAUUACCCAAAGAAUCUGAAAUAAUUGAGAAAAAAGAUAUUGAUAUUGAAAAAGAUAUCGAAACUUCAGAAUUAACAAGAACGAUGGAAGAACUUAUUACUGCGAUAAAAGAAAUUUCAACAGAUGAAAUUAUUGAUCAAAAAGAAGAGAAAAAGAUGGAAAAAAAUAUUACAACGGAAGAACUAUUAACCACAUCACAAUCAAAAACGGAAGAAGAAGGAAAACCUGUGAUAAUAUCUCCAAAAAUAGAAAAAGUAGGAAAAGAAACAAAAUCAGAAAAAAGCAAAAAGAAACAGAGGAAACAAAACGAAAAGAAAGAAGAAAUUCCAGUUCUAGAGAAUCCAAUUGUAACUGAACAAGAAAAUAUAGAAAAGGAAGUUGUUGAGAAAUCUAUUUCUGAAAAGAAGAAGACUUCUAAAGAAUCUAAGAAAAAAGAAGAAGUUAAAGAACCAUCGAAAGAAGAAAAAAUUAUCACAGAAGAACUGAAAUCGUGUUCCUUAGAAAAAGACAUUGAUAUUGUAACUGAAAUAACAGAAACCGAAAAAUUAGUUAAUGGUAAAACAAUAGAGAUAAUAGAUUUAGAUGCAAUUCAAUCUUCAACAAAAGAAGAAAAAACUAAACCUAUAGAGAAAUCUAAAAAAGAAGAAACCAAAACAAAAUCUGGAAAACAGAAACAAUUCAAGGAGAAAACUGAUAUUAAAGCUACUCCUGAUAAAGAACCAAAGAAACAAGAUAAACAGGAAAAUAGUUCUCCAGAUUCAAAGAAGAGACGUGAAGGAAAAUCUAAAAAAACAAAUGAUAUCCCAACAUCAAUGUCUCAAGAAAUUGUGAGUGAAAUUUCUCCAGAAGAGUUUAAAAAGGAAGAGAGUCAAAUAGAAAUAAAAGAAAUAUUACAAGAAGAAAUUCAGCCAUCGGUGUGUACCAAAUCAUGGGCAUCAAUUGUUAGCAUGAAAGGAAAUACAGAAACAACUAAUAAUUCUACAGAUAUUUCGAAAGUAACAUCUGAAGAAUCAAUACCUGAAACUCCAAAAUUAGAAAAAAUAGAAAAAAUGGAAGAAAUUAUACCUGAAGAAUCGCAGAGUCCACCAGCACAUCAAAAAUGGGUGAAACACCAAAAGAAAAAAGAUGCAAAACAAGAGAAGAAUGUUACUGAGAUAAAAGCCUCUUCUAUCAAUAUUGAAAAUGAAGGAGAAAAAGAGAUAAUUAUUGAAGAAUCACAAGAAUUGAUCACAAAAGACUCGAACAAAUCUUAUGCUCAAGUGGCUGCUUCCAACAAAAGGACUUCUCCACAAUUUAAUCAAGAAGAUAUAAUAAUUGCUAAACCGACUCCUAUUAAUCAAAGCAUUGAGAAAAAAGAAAUUGCACAGGAAGAAGCACUAAUAAUCACAGAAAUUGAAAAUGUCAAAGAAAUGAUUAAAUCUGAGGAAGAGGUAAUAAUGGAUAAAAAGUUUGAUGAACUAGUUAUUGAAAAAGAUGUCUUUAAAAUGGAAUCAACUUCAUGGGUAGAAGAAAUCGAGAAAGAAGCAUUAGAAGAAGAAAUUGAUUUUAAAUCUUCUAUUCAGGAUAUUGAAUCUCCGCAGAAAACGAAAGAUUCGUGGGCUGCUAUAGUUGGAAAAUAUGUUGAACCACCAAAAAUUUCAUCACCUACAGUGAAAAAAGAGCAAAUUAUCGAGCAAAAUUUAUAUCCUCAAGUACAAAUCCAUGUGGAACAAGCUCCAGAACCAAUACCCAUUGAAGAAGUAGUUCAAGUAGACGAACAAGGUUUCAUAGAAUUUUUAAAUCGAAAAGAAUUGCGAUCUAGACGAUCCAGAUCACGAUCCAGAAGUGCCAGACGAGAUGAUGCAAAGCAAUCGAGUGAUAAACCUAUAAUUCCUGAAGAAAUUUUAGCAGUAGAACAGAAAGAGGAAAAUGCAGAGAAAAUGGAAGAGCAAAAGAAAAAGGAGGCAAACAAAGGAAAAGAAGAAAAAUCUAAGAAAGACAAACGUAAGGCAAAGACAAAUAGUGCGGAUCGUAAUCAAAGUAUAACGAAAGAGGAACAAGAAAAAGAGAAAAGUAAGACAAAGACGAAUGAAAUCGAGGAAAAGAAAAUAGAGGAAGAAACGAUAGAAGAUUCAAUUGAGCAAGAUAAAACCAACCAAUCAAAAAAGAAAGGUAAAGGUAAAUCGAAAAUAAAAGAAGCUGAAAAAGAAAAAAGUAAGGAAGAAAUUGCUGUUGAAAAAAUUGAGAAAAAGGCUGAAGAAAAGAUAGAAAUAAAGAAAGAAAAGGAAGAAUUGCAGAUUAUUGAGUUUGAAAUUCCAGAAGCAGAUAUGGAAGUAAAUACACAAAAUAAGAUUGCAGAAAAAUCGAAAGUAGAAACAAAAGAACAAUCCGGUGGUAAGAAAAAUAAAAAAUCGAAAAAAGGAAAAUCUGAUAAGGAACAACCAAAACACGAAUUUAAAGAUAAGGAACAAGAUAAGCAAAUAGAUAAUGCUCAGACAACAGAACUAAAGUUAGAACUAAAAUUAAAAGAAGAAAUUACGAAAGAAUCAGAAAUUAAAAAUCAAGAAGAAACAAAAGAAAAUAUAAUAUCUGAAAUUGAAUCUAAAGAAAUUCAAGAAAAAUCAAACGAAAGUACGAUAUUUGAAACUGAAAAUGAACUUCUUCAAGAAACAAAAUCUGACAAACCAAUGCAAUCAGAAAAACGUAAAAAGAAAUCCAAAGAAAGAAAAGCAGAAAUAGCACCAAAACAAAUCACUGAAACAGUUAUUGAAGAAAAUAAAGUAUUAGAAUCUGAAAUGCAAAAAGAAAUAUUAAAAGAACAAUCAGAAGCAAAAGAUAUUCAAGAUAUAAAAGCAACUACUGAGUUUAUUCAAGAAAUAAUAUAUGAAAAACCAGCUUCUUCUGGAAAACGUAAAGGAAAAUCAAAGGAAAAGAAAAAAGCAAUUAUUACAGAAACAGCAAUUAAAGAAAAGGAAGUAUCUAAACCUGAAAUCAAAGAAAUAUUAAAAAAGGAAUCAGACAUUGAGGAAAUUAAAGAAAUUAAAGAAAUUGAGGAAGAACUAAAAACAAUUAUGAAAUCUAAAGAUGAAUAUAAGUAUGAGAUUGUUCAAGAAACAAAAUCUGAAAAAUCUCCAAAAAAGCGUAAAGGAAAAUCUAAGGAAACGAAAGUAGAAACUGUAUCAGAACAAAUCAAUAAGAUAUCAAUUGACGAAAAUAAAUUAUUUGAAUUUGAUGCUAAAGAUAAAAUAUCGAAUCAAAUAAUAAAAGAAGAAGAAGUAAUUAAGCAGGAAAGAGAUGAUACUAAUCACAUUAAACAGGAUGUUACUGUAGAGAAUGAAAUAGAAACAAUUACGAUAAUAUCUGAAAAGCUGAAAGAAAAGGAAAACUCUGUAAAAGAAUCAAUAGAAUUACCACAAACAAUCGCUAAAGAAAUUUCAGAUAGUAAAACAGAAACAAUAGAAGAGAAAGAGGAAACAAAAAUUGAACAAGCAAUAGAAACAGAAGACAAAUCUAAAGUUUCGAAAAAAGAAAAACGGAAACAAAAGAAAAAAGAAAAAUCAGCUACAAGAGCAACUAGCCAAGAAAAAUUGAAAAACGAAAAAUCAGAAGCGAUUUCGCAAGAGCAAAAAGAAGAAAUAAAUAUGAUAUCCAAAACGUUAGAUGAAUUAAAAGCAGAAGAAAUAUCUACAGAAAUUAUUUUAACUAAUGAAACCAAGGAGAAAAAAGACACUAAUGAAAUAUCUAAAGAAAUUGAAAAAUUAAUUCUUUCUGAAGUGAUUUCUGAUGAGAUAAAACUUGUACCAGAAACUAUGCCUAUUCCAAUACCUAAAGAAGAAAUAAAAGUAAUUAAAGAGAAAAUAGAAUUAUCAAAGUCAAUUGAAGAACAAGAAAUAAUUUCUGAUGAAAUAAGGCUUGUUCCCGAAACUUUGCCUAUAUCAAUAUCCAAGGAGGAAAUAAAACCAAUUAAAGAGAUAGCAGAAUUGCCAAAACCAACUAAAGAAAAAGAAAUAUUUUCUGAGGAAAUCAAACCAGAAAUUAUCUCUAUACCAAUAUCUGAAGAAAUACAUUCUAUUAAAGAGAAAACAGAGUUGCCAAAAGUAAAAGAAAAUGAAAUUUCUGAUGAAAUGAAACUUGUUCCAGAAUCUUUAUCUAUAUCAAUAUCCAAAGAGGAAAUACAACCUAUUAAGGAAAUAAUAGAGCUGUCGAAACCAAUUGAAGAAAAAGAAGAAAUUAUAAAUAAAAUAAAAGACAUUGAAGAAAAAGGAGAAAUAAUUAAACCAGUGAUAGAUGAAGACAAAAAACAGGAAGAGUCGUCAUCUAAAAAAUCUAAACGCAAGAAUAAACAAGCAAAAAAAAGUAAGCACGAAGAAGCAGAAACGGAAAUAAAAUCUGCGGAUGAAGAUCUACUAUCAUCAAAGAUUGAAAAAAAUAUUGAAAUAUUAAACACAGGUUCUUCUACUCCAACUCCAGAUACUCCAAAGGAAAUCCCUCAAAUUGAAGAAAAGACAUUGAACGUAACGAUAUCUGAACAGAAAAUAGAAGUUAAUGAUAUAUUAACAAUUGAUGACAUUAAAAAAGAUGAAAAAGAAAUUAAGAACACAACAGAGCAGGAAAUUGUUUUUGAAGAAGAAAAGAUACUUUCGAAAACUCAAGAAGAAAUUGAAUUUAAUUUACAGAAAAUUGAAGAAACACCAUCGACUUCUCCUAUAAAAAAGAAAGUUACGAAAGAAGAAAAAUCUAAAUCAGCAAAAGACAAAGGAUAUGAAGAUAAAUCUAAAAAUGAUGAUAAAGAAAUUCAUGACAUAAAAUCAUUAACUACCGAAGAAAUAACAGUAGACAAGACUUCUGAAGUUAUAGAAGAUACAGUCAUUCCACUUGAAAUGGAAAAACCAACAGAAAUCAUUGAAUCAACUGAAGUAACGAUAAAUGGUAUAUUGAAAAAAGAAACUGAUGAGAUUGAAAAAGAGACAAUUAAAAUAGAAACAAUCGAAGAGAUAUAUCCAGAAAUUGUGAAAGAAAAUAUAAUUCAAGAAAUCGAUAAAGUCCCAGAACAAUUUAUACCGAUUGAAAAGCUAUUAGAUGAGAUCGAAUCACCCAUAAUAAUAGACUCGAUCGAAUCCCAAUUAGAAACCGAGGAAGAAUUCGAGAAAUGUAUAUCGAGCGAACCAGAAAUAGAGACGGUCGAUAUCGUAAUCGAACCAGCAAAACCAAAAGUACAAUUUUACAUAGCCGAUGAAAUUCUAGUUCUAAGUCCCGAGAAAAAGAAACCUGUCCAGACUCCUUUAAUCUUAAAGACCUUGUCAGAACUCAGUAGGUCCAAGUUCCUCUCCCUUGAUAGCGGUUUCUGGCCGGACAAACAUCCUUAUCACGAAGCUGAACGCUAUCUAUUCGAAAACUUGGCUAAUUAUCCAAAAGAAAAUAUUUCGAACGAUACUAAACGCGAUUCUAACGAUCCGGACGAUUUUAAUGGGGAUCAGAAUGAUGGUAAUUUGAAUAAUCGCGGUGGAAAUGGUGGUCCCAUGAAUUCUUUUUUCUUGGGUGGACCUCAUACCGAGCGUUUGAUAGCCGAUCUUCCAGGUGGUAUAGGUAGCUGGAGCGAUUACAGUACUUACUUGUCGAGCGAGAACGAGCAAAGAACGGAUCAGACCACGGAGUUGGUCCAGGAAAAGAUCGAGAAUCCAACGUUAGAUCUAACCCUUCCCUCAGACGAAGUAGUUUCUGAAUUAUCCUCCGUCCACCUCGAGGAUGACCAGUCUAUUUCCAAAUUCGACGAAUUGUCGCUCGAAUCUGUUCCUACGACAUCAGAAAAUUCUGAGGAGAUCAAAUUACAAUCAUUGUCCACUGUCGAAGUGUCUCCUGUCGGUGAACAACCCUCUAAGUUAGAUCACGAGUUUUUUACUGCGGUUGAACGACUAGAAUCCACCUGUUCCGAUCCAUCGUGCGAAUUAUUCCCAAUACCAAAUAUCCCUGACCAUGGUCCAGAUCCCAAGGAAAAUUUAGGUAUUGAAAGAGGAUCGAUGCAGCGGCACACUCCAAUCAUGGAGACGGAGAGAGAGAUGGGGGUAGCUGAGGAUGAGGCUGAAAAGAGGAUACGAGGGAUCAAGGACAUCAUACAGGAACGCCUAAUGGUUUUACAAUUGAGUCUUUCGAACUUAAAAGGAACUUACUUACCACGAGAUAACAUAGACACUAUGCUCUCUGCACUCACGAAUUUAAUAACGGAGCUUCAAAGUUAUGAUCAAGAGACGCAUCACUUGGAAGAGGAAUUGCAUAAAAUACCAGCCGAUUUAGAGGCUCAAAAGCUUCUGUCCAAUCUAGAAGAAAUUCAGACUAAAAUUACAACCCUGUUGACACAAGCGGAACAAGGGCGCGCCACCCUUGAGGGUGCACGUGGACAACAAGAGCAACGCGGCCACGACAUUCACGCGUACAAAAAAUUCUUGGAUGAAACAGAUAGUUGGUUAAAAGAUAUCGUGGCUAGUAUGAAACAGGAACCACCGAUCGCUACGAACAAGGCUUUACAGGAUGAGUUGAGCAGUCACGCGCAGCGGGUGUCGGAGCUUGAAUCUUUGCCAGAGAUCAGCACAUUGGCAAAAGUCCUGAAGAAUGCGUUGUUGGAGGUGAUGUCGCGUCUGCAGCAAAGGCAGCAGGAGGUUCGCGACGAAGAAGCGCGAGCCGAUGAAACGUCAGACCGAGACGAUGCUACCCUCGAUCAAGCACCCUCGAUUCAUUCUUCCCUCGAAAGUAGUAUGCCAUCUUUAGCUGACGUUUCCUUGCAGACAGGACAGAGUUUGUUAGCCAACGAGAUCGUCGAGAAACCGCAACAACUCACCAAACAAACGUCCACCAAUCAAAUUCCAAUCGCGACAGAAUGUCACUCGUUGACUACCCAAACCGUGGACACAGUACACCCUGCCAUGGAGAGCAUCCAAACCCAGGAAACGAUAAAGAUUCUAAAAACCACGGAAGGUGAUCACGACGUUAUCGAGAUAGCCACGAAGAACGUGCCAACUUCCGCUCAGGAAAUCGUUCAAGAUCGUCCCGAGCAAAUAACCGAAGACAUCGUUGUUGACAUGAAAUAUCAAGAUCCCACGAACACUGACAACACCACCAGUGAAUUAAACAUCGUCCACGCUGCCCCACAAUCGUUCGAGACCGUUUUGGUCGAACCUGACGACGUGAUUACCGAAGUGGUGGUAGAUGAAGAUGGUUCUAAGAGGAUAAUAGUAAGGAAAUUGAGGCGAACCACGAUGACUAAUAGACAAACAACUCAACAACAUCUGUCUUCGACAUCCACCGCCAUUGGUGACGCUCCAUCCGUGGUGCAGGCUUUCUCAGAGGCUACCAUGAAAGAUCAGCAGGUCACUAUAACUACCACGAAGCCGGAUGGUACAAUAGAAACUGUUACGAAACAGAUCCAUGGAGGAAGAGUGGCCACCGGUACACCUUUCAAAGACGUGAACGUGGAUGAAUACGAGUCAUCUCCGCAAUACAUGCACACGGUGACUCAAGGCCACAUUCGAGACAUCAGUCCUCAACCAUUCGAAGAGGGAAUUUUAAUGGAAGGUGGAGAAUAUCGGGCAAAGACGUCUAGCGUGCACGCUGUGGUGCAACAAGUAACUAGAAGAGUGGUUAGAAAGACUAAAAGAAUUAUCAGAAAGGUUACUAUCAUCGAUGGUAAGGAAACUGCCACUGAGGAGAUAAUAGAGGAGCCCGAGGAAGUGGAGAUCGAUGAAAAGAAUAUUCCACACAUAAGUAUCAAUGUGAUUAAACAAGAGGAACAGAGAAAUCUUAAUAAAGAUGAAGAGAAGAUUGAAGAGAAGGCUCCAGAUCGCGUCGUGGUUGAGGAUGUUACUGAGAAAGAAGAUAAAGAGGACAGAGAUUCGAAAAUGGAAAAAGUCGUUACCGAUGAUAUACCUAUGCAAGGACCAUUCUUUGGUGCAUUUGCUAAAGAUAUGCACCCAAGCACGACCUACUUAGUAACAGAGAGAGAGGAGCCAUUGCCUGACAAGAAAGACACUCUUACAAAAGAAAAGAAGGAGAAAAAAAUUGAUAUAAAUGUUCGAUCAGAGAAGGCUCUGGAAAAUCCACUGGAAUUUUCAGACAUUCAAGAAUCCUUACAAGGUCUUGAAGAAUCUUUAUUACAGAGUGAAAAAAGCGACAAAUCAUUAAAAGCAAUCGAAAAGAAAAUUGAACCAACUGAUAAAUACGAGCACGAGCACUUUUUGGUCGAGGUAAAUGGCAAAAAGUUCCUUCAAUCGACCAGCCAGGCGUUUAUCGAUGCUGAAGUGUCGGCUACUUUGCAGAGCCCGAGUCAAGAGAUCAAGAUACGAGAGUCACAAAUACAGGAAGAGUUAACCAAAUCUUCGAUCGAAUCUAUCGUGUCAGAGGACUCGACGAGCGUGACUAAAGGGACUUGUAAGUUUAUCGAUGCACCAGUAAGCAGAGAAACACCCCGUAUCGAGGUAGAAGAUCGCACGGUAGAUGUAGAAAAGCACCAUGACAUUAGAGGCACCGUAGAUGUACCUGUCCUAGAAGAAAAGUCUUCGAUAGAAAAGUGGAUGAAAGAGAAAUCAGAAUCGUUGACAAAAUUAGCUUCGACGGAGGUACAAAAGAGAGUUCACGUUUCAGAAGAACGACCAAUUCAGUUCGAAGAGAUAUUUCCUUCGACUUCAACACCAGCCGAGAGGAAAAGGCACGUGGAACUGGAGGCAUUACCGAUUGACGUGAAGCAGCAGAUAGUGAAGAAUUCUUUCGUUCCAGAGAUCGAUUAUUCGAUCGAUGAUUACAUGGACGAGGCACUGAAACCGGAAUACAAACCCAUCUUUCAUAAAGUAGAAAUAUCUCUGGCUGUAAAGAGGGAAGGUGAAGAGAUGCAACCUAUUGUGUCUGUGAAAAGUCAAUCUGAACCGGAAGCGGCUCCUUAUCGCUUAGUGAAGGAAGAUGUCGACAUCAGACUUCCGGCAGACAAAGAGAGCAUCUCGGUGAUUCACGACAAAAUCGUUCAAACAUCUCCACCAAUGAUUGAAGCUAAAGUUAUCGGUUUAGAUAAGUCUGUCGGUGGUUCAGAGAAAGAAAUUGUCACAUCGGACAAGUCUGUCGUCACGUCUGAGAAAGAGGAGACUGACAAAUCGAUCGUCACUUCGGAAAAAGAAAUCGUCACGUCUGAAAAAGAGGAGACUGACAAAUCGAUCAUCACCUCGGAAAAAGAAGAAAUCUCUGAUCAUGUCGUCACGUCGGAGAAAGAGGACGAAUGUCUGACAGAGCCUACGGUAGAACCAGAAGCAGAGGCAAUUAUACAAUUGGACAAGAAGAUCGAAAAACGGAUUGAAUCACCUAUGCUGUCCACGGAAACGAAAUCGAGCGUUUCUCUAGCGUCCAACAUUGGAGACUCGAUGGAAAUCGAUGUGCCGUUGUCCGAUUCGUCGAGGCACGCGAGCGAAGCACCACAACCUGACAUCGCGAAAAUGUUUGAAUCUAGGGAAGUAGAGUUGUAUUUGAAAGAGGAAACAUCGGAAGGGGAAGAUGGCUACGAGGCGGAUAGAACGAUCGUGACGACUACACCGGAUGACGAAACUGUGACGAAAACGAAGAGGAGGAAGAAGAAGAAGCAGAGGGUACGAAGUUGUAAGGACGAAGAGCAAACCGAAUUCCCUAAGACAACCACCGAUGAUGGAGAAUUCACGGACGAUGAGACGCUGGCAGAGAGCGAGGAUGCAAAAGCUACGAAGAAGAAAAAGAAGAAAAAGAAACGGGAAGAGAUUGACUUCGGUAAAGAAAAAAUCGUUCCAACCAUGAUCGUGGCAGAUACUCAAACUCUUCCUCGAGAAUUCAGUGUCUCCAUUGCUACGUCCCCGAAACAGGAAGAGGUUUCAGAAAUUUAUAUUCAAACGUCGCCCCAUUUAUUGGAAGAUGUUAAACUGAAAAUCGAAGAGAUUCACGAAGAGGUGCAAACUUCUCCUCCAAUUUCGCUAGAAGAAUCGGAAAAACCUGAAACACCCAAAGUGAAGGAAGUUCACGCGGAAAUGCAAACUUCUCCAUUGCCUGCUUCGGAUUUCGGCAUGCAAACUGUACCGGAAGAGAAAGAAUCAGAACCUGAGAAACCGAUUAUACAACACUCGGAAAUGCAAACAUCGCCAUUACCAGCUUUAGAUUUUAGUGGUCAGACUGUGGAGGAAGAGGCGCCCAAAAUAGAAGAAAUAAGUACUCAGACCAUGGAAUCACCUGUCAAAAAAAUGGAAGAAUAUGCUGUUCAAACGAGUCCAGUCGAAGAUAUCAAGCCAGAAGUUGUUCCGAUCGAAACCGAGGAAAUUCAAGUUCAAACUGUGGCUACAGAAGUAGCUUCCAUCGAAGCACAAACAUCGCCCACCGCGCCAUCCAUGGAAAUUGAAACGCAGACCGUGGAAAAAGUCGUGGUUGCCGUUGAACAACAAACCACUCCACCUCCAAUAGAAGAAAAGAUUCUAACUGGAAUAGCUGUUCAAACGGUAACUCCUGAAGUACCCAAGACCACAGAAACGGAAGCACAAACUAGCAAACCGACCACUCCGGAAAUAACUACGUUGGACUUCAAUGUGCAGGCAGAUCUAAUAGAACAGCCCGUUGUCGACGUAGUGGAAACUCAAACGACACCAGAGGAGAGUCCACGACAAGCGGAAACUCACGAAACUGAGUCACAAACGAUUCAACCGGAGCCAACUCAAGAAAUCAUGAUUCAAACUUGUCCAGUUACUUUUGCUCCGGAGAAAGUGGAGGUUUGCGAGUUAUCUUCUCAGACUAGCAUGGAAGAGGUGAAGGAAUCGAUAGAUGAACAAUCUCAGACCAUGACCCCGGAGAAGAUAGAAACGUUGGAUAGUUCGGUACAAAUAAAGACAAGCGAAUUAAUAGAACAGAUAGAAGAAAGUGUGCAGAUCAUUCCUGAAACACGGGAGGAAAGUGAGCAAACGAGUAUCGAAGAGAAGAAACCGUUGUUGGUGACGUCUUCUCAACAAACAAACGGAGCACUGCAAGUUGCCGAAUCGGAAAAAGAAUUUGUAGUGGAGGAUGAGGAAGGUAACUUGGUGGAGGCCAUGAUAGAUGAGGUUGACGCGUCAACGGAGAUAAAGGCACCUCUGAUACUUACAGAAAUUCCAGUAGCACCUGAUGUACAAGUACAAGAAACUAAGGAGUACAUGGAUACGAAAAUUGAGAAAGUAACAGAACCGGUGUCUGUUAUUGAGGAGCCUUUAAAUAAAAUAGAAGAGCCAAGGGAUGAGAGCUCACAGGGUAUCUCUGAUAUAACGGAGCCUAAGUCGGAAAGCGAAGAGACGAUGGUGCCUUCGUUGGAGGAGACGGAAACAGCGGACGCUGAAUUUGAGAUUCGUUUGCAGGCAACCAUAGAAUUGUGCCCCGACGAGACUACAGACACUACUAGUAAAUUAACCGAUACUUCGCGAGACACGACUAUUACCGAAGAUCUAAGUAUCACAGGAAAAGUAGAGGACAGUAGCGUGGUGAAAAGACAGAAACGUAAGAGGAGACACAAAACUAUUGAAAUUUCGGCGACGAGUGAAAAGGAUCUGGAAUCCAUAUUCGGACAGCCUGUAGAAUCGAAAGAUGUUUCUCUGAAAUUGUCUUAUUCCGACGUUGCUAAGAAAAAUGUGAGUAAGGAGAAGUCGCCUCCUAGAGAAGAUGUUGAAAAAGAUGUUGAAAAGGACGAGUCUAUACGGAAGGAAUCUCCAGAAUUUAUAGAAGAAAGUGUGAAAGAAGCUGAAGAAAAAAUAGAGACAGCUGCCAUACCGCUGUCGAUAGCAACGGAGCCAAUAGUCGUUAAAGAGAUUCAGGAUGUAUGGACUUUGGGUAAAGAAAAGAUAGUCUCGCCUAUGGAAUCAGAAGUACAACAGAUGCCAGGAAUAAGUACUCACACGCCUUCCCCUGAACCAAUGGACACGACGGAGGAACCAUUUUCUCCUGUGGAAUCAAUUCCUCAAGAGGACGAUCGACCCAGGAUUAAAACUUAUGCGGAUAUUAUCAGCGAAUCUUCUAAGAAACCAGAAAAAGAUCAACCUUCAACGUGGGAAUUAUCUCAGCACGUUGUCCCGCAAAAAGGAGCGAGUUCAAAAGCUUUCUUGAUAGCUGAGAGUGCAGAAUACGAGCCCCAACAUCAGAUCACGCAAAGCAGUCAAACGACCAAAGCGAUCUCUGAUCGAAUGCAAAGUUUUCUAAAUGCCAAACAAUCUAGUCAUCUUGGAAAUAUCCUUCAUAUCGCUCAUCUGGACAAAGUGGCGAAUGAAAAAUUGGCCGAAGAGCGCGCUGCUGACAUAAGGAAAGAACUGUCUCACUUGAGGAACGCUGCUCAAGAGAAAGAUGCGAUCACCGUGGAGGAAACUCUCGUUGUCAUCGUGGACACGAUUUCCACUUGGUUGGAGACGAUCGAGUACAGAAUCUUCUUGAGCAAAGAGUGUCCUACGGGUCCUUCUCACGAUGAUCAGACCUAUGUCGAACUGAGAGACGAAGUGGAGAACGUGGAGGAGAAUAUUCAAGAGCUGAAUAACGUUUGGAAAUUAGUGGAGAUGAAUUAUCCGAGAGAAGAUCGUAAUAAUUUGCAGGAAUGUCUCGAUGCUCUCAUGCAUCAAGUUAAAAUGAUCGAGGACGCGACCGACGAUGGGGAGAAAUAUCUUACGAACGAGCUUGCUAGAUGGGAUGAAUUCGUAAACGGAGUGUACAACAUGUACAGAUUAAUCGAGGAACAACGAAAACAUCUAAACAACGUAAUCGAGCUCGAGACAUCCACGAAAUGGAAGCUCGAAGAGCUCGAUAAAUUAGAGAAUAUGAAUCAAUGUCACAUGUGGAAAACCGCAUCGUUGCUCACCGUAUCUCACGAAUUGUUGCGAGAUUAUCCUGGAAAGCACAUCCCGGAAGAGACUUACGCGGCUCACGAGAUGACUAAGAUAAUCGAGCAUGGGAUAUGCAUCGAACGUGAACGACUUCUUCAGCUACUCGCCUUGGCCGAAGAAUACGAGCAAACUUUGCGAGAAUUCGCACAGAUCACCGAGAUCGCGGAGAACUUGUUAGAGAGUCCUAUCUCGGUGAUGAGUUUGGAACAUUUGCAGGAGGAGAUGCAGAAGCACAGAAAAUUCUUCGUGAAUUUGAAUCAUUGUCGAGGAAUCCUGGAAUCGUUGGAAGGCAAUCUUGAUCCGGAGACGAGAACCAAAUACUCGGAUCUUCACGAAGAGCUGCACAGUAGGGCUAUAUCGUUGUUGGAUCAGGCCGCGUCUAGAGCUCAGCAAAUGGCUCUUGCAGCAUCCAGAUGGAUUCUUUUAGAACAGGGAGUGAAGGAGGAGAGAGGAUGGCUACAAGUUGCUCAUCAACGAGUACCUGAUCUUCAAACAGUGACGUCGUCGGAUUACGAUCAAUAUAUCUCGUUGUAUCAGUCUCUGGCAACGGACGUUGCAACGCAUCACGCAAGACUUAUUCAGCUUUUGAACGUAGCGCGAAGUCUCGAAGAAUUAGUGAAUAUCGAGGAUCCCGAGGAUCGUUACGGAGAAGCUUUAGACGUGAUCGUAAAACUUCAAGAUAACGUGGAAUCGUCGUUAAGGAAAUUGCUGUCGUUCAAAGAGAGUUGGGCUAAUCAAGAAAUGUUGAUGAAUCGAUUGGAGAAUUGGAUGACAUCGGUGGAGAAGGAAUUGAAUAAUUUGCGUGAUCCUUCAGGGGGUCACAUACGUCAAUUCUGGGAACUGAAAGCGCAAUACGAGGUCCACAACAACAUUCGAGAGGAGGCCAACAACAGUUUCGAGCAAGCCCUGAGAAUAAUUCCCUUAUCGGAUGAAAUGUUGCAAAGACAGUUCCAUUGCGAGCUCCAAGAUCGCUGGAACGACGUGACUCAACAGAUCAACACCAUCCAAGAACAAGUGACUCGAAACAUCUCUUCCGAAGAGAUAUCGUCCAACGAGAAAUUAAAAUUACUCGAGAGAGAAUUGAACGAGUUACGAGUGACGAUCGAUGGAUUCCACGGUGUUUUGAAGACGGAGGAGGAGCUGGAUCUCUAUAUCGAACGCUUGACAGUCUUGUUUGACAGGAUCUGUUUGAUCCAAGACGAAUUAGGUCGCCUGGGUUUACUUCCUGUGGCGGAGAGCGAGAAGGUCGGUGUGUUGCUGUCCUCGGCUCGCCGAAUAGAGAGUCAAAUAAGCGAGGAAUUGGAUGCAGCGCAGUUGCUUAGGGAAAGGCUUCAGGCAAUUCAGCGUGGCCUCAGCCGUAUUAGAAAAAUCCAUCAACGGCAAUCAUCUAUAUUGGAUCAAUGCGAGGGAAGCGAACGACAGGGAAGUGACGUGGUCGCAGCUGCCGUGGAUCGAUGUCAAACGGUAGCUGACGAGCUUGCGGUCUUGUGGCAGGAUAUUAUGGGUCUCAGACAAUUAUUGCACACCCUGCCCACCGUGAUGAGAGUCUCGGUUUCUCCGGUCAGCGUGGAACGAGACAUUUCGAAUCUUCAAGAUGCUCAUACCGAUCUGGAGUCCAGAUGCUCGAGAUUGUUGGCGUUAUUGAAGAACAGGCUUGCCCUGUGGAGAAGAUUCGAGAAACAGCUGGAAAUGGUGCAGCAAUCGGUUCAAGAGGCUGAUUACAUGAUGGAGUUGUUAACCGUGCAAGGAUCUGUCGAUUACGACAGGCUGCUGAAAGCUACCGAAAGGCUAGAGGGUCUCAGCGGUGAUUUGGGUGCGCGAGAAGUUCUCAUUGGCGAAUUGCGAGAAGCUGCCGAACCUCUGCGGGAGGGUUGCGCUGCAGAGGUCCGCGAGAAGGUCGAAGCGGCGGUAAAUGAGGCCGUACAGGCCUGGGAGGAUACCAGGGCCGAAUUAGAUGCCCUUUGCACCAAGUAUCAGCACGCGUGCAGAUUGUGGCAACAGUACAAAGACUCGAGUGCUGCGGUUAAAGCCUGGGUGGACACGCAAAUGGACAGCGUCGCCAAUCUCCCACCUGAAGAGGCCGUCAAACACAUCAAGGUUUGCGAGGAGACGAUGGCGGAGCACAAGGAAAGGUUGGCGGAGCUUCAAGGCCUGGUGGCGCAAAUCGCGUCGGACGUCGGGUUGGACGCGAGUGGACCGUUGCACUGCGAAGUGGAGGCACUUGGACAACGUCUCGAGGAUAUCCGUGAAACGUUAUCGUGCCUCGCGGAUGCGGCGCACGCCCGCGCCCUCAACCAGGAGCUCGCACGUGGUGAUUUAUGUCAGACGAAAAAUUUCCUGGAUUCGGUCCAACAGAGCCUGACCGCGGUGGGUCAAGGUGAGUCGAAGGAGCAACUGGAACUCCUCCGCAACCAUCUUCUUGCGCUCACCUGCACGGAACCGCAGCUACAAUCGAUCAAGGAACGCAGCCUGGAGGUAACGACGCAAGAACCGUCGGUUGUCGAGGUGUUGAAACUGUGGCAGAAGGUCUUCAGAGAAACCUUCCAACAGUAUCACCGGUUGUCGGCUCUUCUAGUCAAAACGCAGGAUGGUGCCACUGCCUUGAAACUUUGGCAGGAAUACUUGUUCUACGUACAAGAUUUCCUGUCCAACGAUGUACCCGGCGACUACAACGGUUUGUCGGAACACAGGAACCUCUGCGAGGUUCACCAGAAUCUCUUGACCGAUCAACAGAAUCUCAUUCUCACGGUUCGAGCGGAAGAGGGGGGUAAUCUGUCGAAAACCGAGCAAUUCAACAUUCUGACGAACCAACACAACGAAACUCUGGCCAAGAUCAUGGAGAGGCACGCGGCUGUACGCGACAGAUUGACUGCGUGGGAUCGGUACAAAUUGGAUCAGGGUAAACUCUUGUACUGGCUGAAGGAGAUCGAAAGAGAACGAAGCCAGUUACGCUUCAGAUUCAUCCAAAUACAGAGGUUGGACGAAAUUCUCCAGAGGAUAGAGUCGUUGCUGGACAAGAUACCCGAAGGCGAAGCCCAAUUGGAAUCUCUGCAGAGGCAACAGGAGACACUGCUAGCCAAAUGCGACGAGGCGUUAGCCGUGACCAUUCACAGGGACCACGCAGCCAGCGUACAAAGAAUCAACAAUCUGAGCUCAAGUCUGGAGAUGUGGAGGGAUCACAUCCCGAGGAUACAGAAACGAUACAAGGAGUACGAGGAAAAGUCGAAGGACAUCAAUAGCACGUUCACGGAGAUCGGUCAAGCUUUCAGUACAGCGUUUCACUCGAGUCCUGCUAGUUUGACGAGAACGAAACAGCAAUUGGAAUCUGUACACCAGAUGCAGAACAGAUUGUCCUCGAUGAGCAUAGAUUUGGAAUCCUUGGGCGUGAUGAUACAACAAUUGAGAGAGGAUCUCAGCCCGACCGAUAUAAAAUCGUUGAACGAACAACGGGCGCUUUUCCGGCUGCAGCACGAGGAUCUGGAACAUCAAGCGGCGUUGCUGAUAUGCAGAUUGGAGGAGCGUUGUGGUCUGUACGAUCGGUGGAGGGACAGAUUAGGCAGGUUACUCGCGUGGAUAGGAGAAACUGAGAUCAGAAUUCAGGAUUGCGACUCGCCGAACGAGCCCGAGGAAACUCUUAAAAAAUUGGAAUGCGAGAUACAGUCGGAUAUCGCGUUGAAACAGCGAGAAUUAUUGUGGAUACAGAACACUGGGCAAGAUUUGGUCGAAGUAGCGGAGGAAGAGGAGAGCGAAAGGUUGCAACGAUCCCUGGACGAGUUGAACGAGAGGUGGGAUCGAUUGGUGGCUAUGGGAAAAGCGAGAGCUAGUAAGUUGAUGGACCUGAUGAGGACGAUGAGCACAUUGGAGAAGAGGAUAAACGAGUUGAGGAGCUGGCUGGCCAGCGUUGAAAGUCAAUUGUCGGAGACGUUCGUGGUCGAGGCGAUCGAGCAGAGUUGCAUCGACAAGAAGCUGGACGAUCACGAACAUCUUCAGAAGACGAUCGAGGCGGAAAGCGGAAAUAUCGGCGAGGUGUUGAAUCUCUGCGAGAUUCUGUUGAACGACUGUGAUGCGUGGAAAACGUCUUUCAACAACGCGAUCAAGAGCGGGAUGGAAGGUUUGGAGCGUAGGUGGACAACCACCUGCGUGAAAUCGGCGGAGAGAAAGGGGAAUAUCAUUCUCGCGUGGAAAAUUCUCCAGGAAUUGGAGAAGAUCAGGUUGGAGCAGGAAGGUUGGCUCGCGGAAACGGACAAGGCUCUCGUGGAAUUGGAGAACAACUUGGACGAAAUUUCGAAGGACGAGUCUAAGAAGGCUAUCGAGAAGGCUAGAAGCAUAUCCGAGGACGUAGAGGCGCACGAACCGGUGAUCAAGAUAAUCGAGCAAAACUUUGGGCGUUUAGCUAGAACGGGUUUAGAACCAGAUAACCUGAAGUCGCUUAUCAGCGAGACCAGGCGGCUUAUCGAUAAAUGGCAAACGUUCAAGCCUAGAGCGAAUGCCGUUCUAUUGGCUCUCCAGAAAGGGCAGAAGAAUUAUCGAGACUUUAUCACUGUGCAUGGCGCAGCGGUCGUUGGACUGACGCAAGUCGACGUUCGAUUGACCAGGACGCAACACCUGGCCACGCCGGAACAGAAAGCGUCGAUUCGUCGCAGGCUGCAGCAAUUGAACGAGAUCGAGGAAGAACUUCGCACUCAGAACAUCACGUUGCAGAAAGCGGAUGAAUUGGCGCUUAAGGUUAUGCAAGAAUGUCAUCCGGAUGACGUGGCGAAUAUCCAAGAAUUGGUGGACGAGUAUCAGCUGUUAUGGAAAGACAUCAAGAAGAGAGUGGCGUCGUUAAGAGCGGAAAUAGAGGGACAGGAGAGGUCUGAAGUCGACGAGGCUGUGCAAGUGGAAACGUUGAAAUUCGAACAGGACAGUGCGGUUCAAGUGGACACGUUGCCUAGGUUAUUACGAAUGACUUCCAGCGACGCAUACCUGAUGGAAUUGGAAGCUGCUCUGGUCGAGUGCAACGAUGCAUUGGAUACGUUGCAAUUAGCAAUCGCCCCGGAUCCUGUUGCUGGACCUGGAUUAAAUGCGACUGCUAAAAAUAUCAGUAAAUUAAUCGGAAGCUGUCAAUCGUCGAUCGAACUGGUUCGUCAUUUGCACAGUUUGCUCAUAGAAGAUGGAAAAUUGAGCGCGCAAGCCGCCAAGGCUAACGAGGUGGCUGCGUUAACGGAAAGAUACGAAAAUCUUCUUAUAUUGGCGAGAACGCGAGAACAACAGAUCAGAGAACUCAGGUCACCUAACUCCGACGUUUACACCUCUCCCUGCGAUCACGACAAUGGCAGAUUAACCUGUCCCCUAUGUUCGCGUCGCAACUGGGCCCAACUGGAGAACGAUCUUUGGAGGUUGGAAAAAUGGCUGGAAUUCGCUGAAGGCACCCAAAGCGCGCAACAUUCGCCACCUGGCAAUAUCGAACAAUUGGAGGAUGUGAUACAAGAUCACAGAGAAUUUGUGCUCGAUUUAGACUGUCACGAAAGUAUUCUUGCCAGUCUGAACACCGUUGGCGCGCAUUUAGCCGAUCACACGGAGGAAUUGCUUCGAGCAACGCAACUCAGAGACAGAUUAGCCGUUGCGAAUACGAGAUGGGUGAAGGUUUGCAAAGUGGCUGCACAUUGGCAGGAACAGUUACAGACUGCAUUAAUGUCGAACCAGCAAUUCCAUCGUAUCAUAGAGGAAUUGGUUACCUGGUUGGAGAAAACUGAAGCCAGUAUACGGGCCAGCGAACCGGUCGAUCUGACCGAGUCGCCGGAAAUUAUGACCGCAAAGUACAAUAAAUUCAGGGAAUUGAGAAGUGAUUUGGAGCGAUGCGAGCCUCGAGUUCUGUCGCUUCAAGAGUCAGCCAAUCAAUUAUUGGACGAGAAAGGCGAAACCAGAGCACGCCUACAGGAACUUCGUCUCAGAUUGCAGUCCCUUCGACGGUUAACCGGGAUAUACGCUUUAAAAUUAGGAGCAGCCCUAGGGAUGGAUCCUCGGGACGUUGGACUCGCAGCCACUACCUCUUCUCUCGCUUCCCUUUCACACGAUGUAAGCUUCAUUCUAUCCUAUUCGCCACUUUUUCUCGUUGGAAUACUCGAAACGAAGCAAAGUUUCAUUAAAGAAAAUCUUCGUUGUUUUAUUUCCGUAAAGACUCGCUAGCUUCUUCAGAAUAUUUUCAGUUGCUCGACGAAGCUGCCUCUGGAACCGUUCAGCCCCACGACGCACCUGACACACAUGGUGACGAUGGCGAGCGUACGGUAUUGUCUCGGGGAUACCGUUUCCUGGGCCGCGUGUUGCGCGUUUCCCUGCCGAUCCAGGCGUUGAUGCUCCUAUUCCU
This 51262-nucleotide unclassified non-coding RNA is filed under the name Apis dorsata (giant honeybee). Its description in RNAcentral is "nesprin-1, transcript variant X2". The record is from RNAcentral. Lineage: Eukaryota; Metazoa; Arthropoda; Insecta; Hymenoptera; Apidae.